This 45239-nucleotide long non-coding RNA is filed under the name Triticum aestivum (bread wheat). RNAcentral's name for it is "long non-coding RNA (TAES_LNC012857)". The record is from RNAcentral. Lineage: Eukaryota; Viridiplantae; Streptophyta; Magnoliopsida; Poales; Poaceae.
UCCCCUACACCUCCCUAGCCCCUCAGAGCCUCGCCGGAGUGCCUCCCCAACCUCCUCUGAUGCCACGGUCGCCGGCAAGCUUCACUUCGAUUCCAACGAUCCCGAGCCUCAUUCACUCUUCCUCCACCACCAGUACGCCGUCCCAGUGCUCCAACCCCUCCUCCGGCGCACCGGAGCGCCAUGCCCAUCUCCUCCCGAAUACCCCUCCGCCGCGGGCCCAACUGCGGCCAUUCCCGAGCUCCCCGGCGUCUUCCACGGCCGGGAACAGAUCCUCCUUGUCCUACUGAGCAUUUUAAUAGGUCGCCCGUCCCGAACGGUGGCCGGACUCGCCGGCAGUCGCCGUCGGGAUGGCCACCUCCCUCGGCCCAGCGCGCUCCCGAGCGGGAGGUUGAAGACGGUCAGGGCAAGGCGGGCCCCUCCCCGCGCGACCCCACCUGUCAGCGCCUCAAGGCCGGCCCCGCUCCCGCCACGUCAGUUAAGUGGAAGCGUACUCCACUGGAGUACGUCUUCCCUGCCGCGGAAGCGUUUUUGCAGGAAAUACGCUUUCUGUUUAAACCCUGCCGGCCGAAACCUCUAGUUUGUGAAUGUUCGUCCGUUAAGAGCAGAAAUGAAUACUUUUUUAUUUCUUUUUCUGCCUAACGAACAAAUGGUCAUAACUCUGUGACCGUGACUCCGAUUGAGGUGAUUCCAACUCCCACGUCUUCGCCUCGUCGAGCCCGUUCUGUUCACAUCAUCUCUACUCCUAAUGUUUGAGUUGGUUGAAUAGUACCACGGUUUAUUUUCGUCCGGUUUAUUUUCGCCUCACCUCCCACCACCCUCCCACGUUAAUGUUUUAUUCUUUGCACUUAAAACCAAAUCGCGUCUAAUACUCCUUCCAUUUAUUCAUGCUUGCUUUGGCAAGUGUCGAUUCAAUUCAACCAUGUAAAUAUUUGGUAAUUAAGAAUUCAUAAAUAAUAACAUACACAUGAGAUCACCUUCCAAACAGAUCACAUCGCCCUCCGAUUCAUUUCUCCCACCGAUCCCCUUCAAUACUUAGCUUCGCUAGAAAAAAAACACAACUAUCGAAGCCAUGCCCUCACAUGAUCACGUAUCACAAUGAGAAAACUCCUUAUAUUGUUUCCCUAUUUAAAUAUACUAGCAAACAUGCCCGUGCGUUGCAACGGGAGAAAACAACCCUCUCACAUGCCCUUACCCAUUGAGCAUGGCUAAAGAAUUCACCCUUAUGCCCAUAACAUAAUAAACAUGACUAAUACCUAAUCCUCACGUCCACAUCCUCCAUUUCAGUAUAACACCAGACACAUGUUUCCGCUUGUCGUCUUUUCUGUCCUCAUCACUGGUGGUCGCAUUAUCAGUUGUCACUAACCAGGGUUGACCAGGUGCAAUGGAUUGUUGAGCCGCCUUCAUGUCCGGCGAAGAGAAAGAGCGUUGAACAAAGUUUUUUAUUUAUCAUCUGGCUAAUAUAAUAGGGAAAAGCACUGCACAAAAUGUAUGUCCAUGUCAUUAUGUAAAUUGAAUAGUUUGUGUCAGAUUGAUCAUGAAAUCUUAGUUGGACUCCUCAUGCAUUUUGACAGGAAUCACUGGGCCGAGUGAGACUCGUCGUACGUGUGAAGACGCGAUAGAGAAAAAGAUUCCUUCCAUAUCCAUAGUUUGAACUAAAACAAUGCAUCAGGUGGGCAUAUUUCAAAAAUUCACCAAGUUUUAUUAAUAGGUAUAGACUAAAGCAAUUUAGCUAUAAUACCUCCCAGUUUAGAAAAACAUGUUUAAGAAAAUAUUUUCCUUUUCAAAUUUAAAGUUCAAAAAAUAUUCGUGUUUUAAAAAUGUUUGCAAAUUAAAAAAUAAUCAAAACAGUACCUCCUAGUUUUAAAAAAUUGUUUUUGUUUUAAAAUAUACUCAAGUUUAAAGAAAAUAAAAGGCGAAAUAUUGUUAUUUAAAAAAAUGUUUGAGUUUAAAUUUUUUAUUAACAACUUUGAAAAAAAAAUCGGGUUCUAUAAUAUAUUCACUUUUUCAGAAAAAAAAUUCCUCUCAGUAUCUGGCGAGACUAUGAACUAAUUUAAAAUUUCGCGCUGCAAUUUAAACAGCCAGUCAUGUUUAUUCUAGUGGCUAGCAGUCUGAGCUCUCUAGCAUGAGCGGCUUGGUUCGAUUCCUCUCGUGGCGCAGCAUUUUUUCUUAGAUUUUUUUACUGGCGCGGGCUGUUAUGCUAAUGGGCCGGCCCAUUGCGGCUCUGUGCCUCCUGUGUUAUGUUUUUUUGACUGAAACGAAUUGGGAGAAGGCAAAAACGCCCGCACCAGAGAACAUCUGCGACGUAUCUAGGUCCCACCGUAAACGAAAAUAACUGGAGAAACAAUCCUUCCUUUAAUAUCGCACCAGAGAACAUCUGCGACGUACAAAAGUUAUUUAGGUCCCACCGUAAACGAAAAUAAGUGAAGAAACAAUCCUUCCUUUAAUAUUUGGUUAAGAUAAAGAUAAAGAUUUAGGAGCAGUCGGUACGUCUUUCGUUCGUACCCAGCCUCCCAUCGAUCGCGAAGGCAUCCCCGCUACUUUUUUCCGCUUCUUCGACGUUCGUCGAUUCGUCCCCACCCGCACAGCCAUACGUGGACCAAGCCCUGCAAAAGAACGAGAUCCAACCCACGUCUCUCUAUCAACAAAAGCACGACACGCUAGGGUUAGCAGCCGCCAGCCACGCCCGCCCCUCGAUCGGCUCCUCCCGAGGCGCCAUCGUGCUCUCGCGCACGGCGCUGGCCGCUGUCCUCAAUGCCCCCUCGCACUUCGCAUCUGCUGCCUCAUCCUCCGACCUCCGUCGUCGUGCAGCACAUCGUUGCCAUGGACUCGAACUUCUGAUGCUACGGGGAAGCCGGAUCGGAUCCCACCCCGAGGGCUCGACCUGAGGCUGCGGUGGGUUGUAGAACUCCCCGGCGACAAGCUCAACGGCCUUGUACUUCGCCCGCACAAGCACCAUUGGGUCGACGUCGCUGCCAGUGGCUGCGGCCAUGCAUUUCGAAAUUCCAUGGCAUGAUGCAUAUAAAUUGGAUCAGUAUGUGGGUUCAGAAGAUGAUUUUUUUUCUAUGCUUCCCCUAUGGUGGGUUCGGUUUUGCAUUACUCAAUUUUGCUAAUGUGUCGUUUCUGCAAUGUACCUUCAAUUUUUUUAGUAUACUAAUUUCAAAUGAUUAUAUAAUUUUCUAUGGAUCAGAUUCAUGAAGCUCCAAGCGAGCAAGAAGUUUCAGUCCACCUUUACUCAUGGCCUCCCCUUCUCGUCUGGUAACUCACGUGCUCACUUUGUCAUGAAGAUAGCAUGAACUAAUCUUUUAUCAGGCAACAAAUGCCAUGUCCUAGCACCGGCCAAAAUCCCUUUUUCAUGUGUGAACCAUAUACAGAAAACUGCAUGAUACAUACUGGAAUCUGGUGCUCACUUUUAGAAUAGCUGUUUUUUUUCACCCAACUAGAGAACUUAGGAAGGCUGUUUUUUUCUUCUUCUUUUGUUAUGAUUUUUUCAGUCUUUCGGGUUAAUAAGUGGUUUUUUUCUUUCGCCUUUAGGUUGCAGAAGUGCAAUUGCAACUGUAUGCGUUCACUAGCGACAACACCCAUAGAUAAAUAUACACGCCUAUUACAUGUUGAUGCUGCCCGCUCUUGUUAUACAUUUAUUUUGCAGCGGUCGCUCUGUUCAAUCGUGGUCCAUGCUCUGUUUAAUGCACAUGUCGGAUCAGAAUCAAAAUGAGAUUAUUGUAGCUUCUCUAACCACAUUCGGACUCCUAAUUUUAAGUUUUUGUCUUGCUCUCAGGUUUUUUUUUGAAAAGGGGGACUCCCCAGCCUCUGCAUCAGAACGAUGCAUACGGCCAACUUUAUAAAUAAGCAAACAUGUUCAACAAGGUCUUAAAGUCUCCAACGAAAGUAAAGUAAAGAAAAGCUCACAGAGAGCCAAAAGGCCAAUAACAAACUAGCCAAAAGAAGCCACAACCGGCUGGCAUAAGAGAGAUAGGUAAACUAACUGCCUAUCCUAUUACAUGACCGUCAUCCAAACCGGUUGAAGAUAUCCCGUGCUACCAUCUCCCACCGGAUAGAUCCAGUAACCAAGGGAGUGAGUAGCGACCACGUACGGAUCAACGCAGUGGCUCGGAAAAUAACCUGCAAAAAAUGAAUAUUUGUUGCUCUGUUAAAAACCAAAUCAUUUCUGCAGUUCCAUACUGCCCAUAAUAAAGCACAUGCUCCUACGCGGAUGUGUCGUGCUGUUUCGGACUCUAGCCCAUUAAGCCACGUUUCAAAUAACGUGUUGACAUAUCUCGGAGGAGUAAUAUUGAAGGCAAUAUGGACCGUCCGCCAUAAGACUUUUGCCAACGGGCACUCAAGAAAAAGGUGUUUGAUGGUUUCAUCCCGAUCGCAGAAGUUACACCUAGUAGGUCCUGUCCAGUUACGCUUUGCCAAAUUAUCCUUGGUCAAGAUUACUUGUUUAUGUCUUGCUCUCAGGUGGACGGCCUUGGCAAUCUGAACAAGCUUUACGCGACUGGCGCUCUUGUUGAUUCCUUAUGAGUCAUUUAAGCUGUUUUUGCACAAGGUUGAGAUAGUUGGGGCAUGUAACUGUGUUUUGGUGAGCUUCUUCCUUUCUUUGAGGGUUUCCCAAUCCCUUCUCAAUCCAAAGUUCUGGCUCAGGCUGUGAUUAUAACUUUUAUUGACCUAGAUCUGAUGGUGAUAGUUAUGAAUAAUUCAACUUUUUUCAGAGUAUAUUGAACUGCAUCACACAUAAGUAAUAGAUAUUAACCUAUGCUAACACUAAUAUUUGUAAUUUGUUACACCAUGAUGUUUAAUAUUGCCAGGAUAUUUUUCUUGAAAAGAAAAUAUGAAAUUUACACCUCUUGCACCACUGAUAGAGAUGUGCCUUGCUGUAAUAAGAUGAUGGGCUCAUGACUUAUCUUUCUUGGACAAAACAAGGAAUCUAGCCAUAACUAUGUACAUACCUGGAUACUCAUCUUUUCUUCUCAAGCUAUCAUGUCAAGUGUAGAGGAAAUGAUGAUAUAAAGAAUAAGGAGAAAGACAUGCUGACAGUACAUCCGGUUCCAAUUUUCAUCACACUAUGUACUAAUAUAUGCUCUCAAUGAUAAUAUGCCACCUUGCGCUGUCUACACACGUAACAUGUUCUUCUUUUGUAUGAUUAUACACUAUGAAAUUAUUGUAUGCUUAUCUUGGCUGGAAUUUCAGAGUUGAAAGGACAUGAUGUUUCCAUGCGACGGGAGUUAAUUUUGGUUGUCCUUUGUUUCAUAAUAAAUGUUGGUAUGUUUAGUUGGUGUAACCGGAAUUAAUCACUGGUUAAACAUAUAGAAGGAGUCUCUCUAUUGGAAGGGGAAAAAUAUAAUGUUAGACACCAUUUAUUUUUCUACUCGAUGGUGCAUGCAAUGUAUCAUUUGUCCCUGAUUUAAUGUACUGCACUUUUCUUCAUUGCUCUCUGUUCUUUAAUAAGUCAGACUCAUAUAGAACCUGAUAUUUCUUAGUGAUGUCUUCAGAUCCCACGAAUGUCAUUUUGCACUGAAGGCUUGUAACCAUUGGGAAAUGUUUGCUUGCUCUGAUGUAUCAAGUUGCCAUGGGGGUGAUCUAGAGGUGAAAGCUAGCAAGCCAUCUCCUGAUAUUUUCCUUACUAGCAAGCUUAAUGCGGAACACUUAUAUUUCAGUACUUGUUUGUUUAACUGUGCUAUUCAUCUGCAGGUCUCUUCCUUGUCCGAAGUGUCGUACCGAAUCAAGACAUGUUCAUUUAAUUUACCUGUCAUGUAAAUGACACAACAUGAUUCACUUGUGUAUAGUGUAAAAAUAUAUUUAUUUAUGGCACACAGGUGUUCAAAUUAUAGUUGUAAAACGUGUAUAGUGUAAAAAUAUAAUUAUUAAGGGAAGUGACAUCACAAUGGUCGUGCCUGGUCUUCUCCGAGUCUCUGCUUGUGGUUUGUGUUCUUUAGAUCUGUUCAUGCCCUGAUAUUGCUCUCUGAUUUCAUCUUCUCUGGACUAAUUAGGGCUUUGCUUUUGUUUGCACCAAUUCGAGAUAAUGGUCAUGACAUGCAGCAGCCAAGACAACAAGGUCAAGCCCAGGCUUAGGCCUGAUGAUGAACACAAUUAGAUGCAGGUAGUUCCUUGCAUCCUCAUGUUAGAACUACUUUUUUUACGCUCUUGCUUCUGCAGAUUUCUAAGAAUUUGACUCAUUUUUCGGUCAUUUUGUGCAUUUGUAGUUCACAUAUAUCUAAGUUCCUUUGAUGUGUGUUUCAAAUAAACAAGAGCUCUUGGCAAUGAGAUUUUUUGACCGAACAUAUCAUUUUAACCACAAAUAGAAUACAAAUAAUUGUGAUAUAAACCUAAUUGAUACACCAUUUGAUACAUGUGUUUACAAAAUAGAUCUGAGCAAUUAUUUGUAGUAGUUAUAUUGAUUAGCUGCCUACUUACCUUUUAAGUUCUUUGUGAAUCAAUGUAAUUUUAUUUCGACAAAGUUUGAGAAAAAAAUAUGACGGGGAGCCUUGGCGCAGUGGUAAAGUUGCUACCUUGUGACCAUGAGGUCACGGGUUCAAGUCCUGGAAACAGCUUCUUACACAAAUGUAGGGAAAGGCUGCGUACUAUAGACCCAAAGUGGUCGGACCCUUUCCCGGACCCUGCGCAAGCGGCAUGCAUCGGGCUGCUGAUACGUCUCCAACGUAUCUAUAAUUUUUGAUUGCUCCAUGCUGUUUUAUUAUCAAUCUUGGAUGUUUUAUAAUCAUUUUAUAUCAUUUUUUGGUACUGACCUAUUGACAUAGUGCCAAGUGCAAGUUGCUGUUUUUUCCAUGUUUUUUACAUCGCAGAAAAUCAAUAUCAGACGGAGUCCAAAUGCCACGAAACUUCACGGAGAUUUUUUAUGGACCAGAAGGAAGAUAUUGGGCCCUGGUUGCACCUGGGGGGAGUCCCGAGGAGGGGACAACCCACCAGGGCGCGCCAGGAGGCCCAGGCGCGCCCUGGUGGGUUAUGCCCACCUCAGGUGCCCCCCGGGCUGCCUCUUUGCUCCAUAAAUACCCCAAUAUUCCAGAAACCCUAGGGGAGUCGACGAAAUAUUCAUCCAGCCACCGCAGAGUCCAGAACCACCAGAUCCAAUCUAGACACCAUCACGGAGGGGUUCACCACUUCCAUUGAUGCCUCUCUGAUGAUGCGUGAGUAGUUCUUUGUAGACCUUCGGGUCCGUAGUUAGUAGCUAGAUGGCUCUCUCUCUCUCUCUCUCUCUCUCGCUGAAUUCUCAAUACAAUGGUCUCUUGGAGAUCCAUAUGAUGUAACUCUUUUGCGGUGUGUUUGUUGGGAUCUGAUGAACUUCGAGUUUAUGAUGAGUUAUAUCUUUUUAUAUCCAUGAAAGUUAUUUGAGUUUAUUUGAUCUCUUAUAUGCAUGAUCUCUUAUAGCCUUGUAUUUUUUCUCCGAUAUUUGGGUUUUGUUUGGCCAACUUGAUCUAUUUAUCUUGCAAUGGGAAGAGGUUCCCGGUAGUGGGUUCGAUCUUAUGGUGCUUGAUCCCAGUGACAGAAAGGGAACCGACACGUAUGUAUCGUUGCUACUAAGGAUAAAAAGAUGGGAUCUAUAUCUACGCAAUAGAUAAACGGAUCUUGUCUACAUCAUGUCAUCGUUCUUAUUGCAUUACUCCGUUUUUCCAUGAACUUAAUACACUAGAUGCAUGCUGGAUAGCGGUCGAUGUGUGGAGUAAUAGUAGUAGAUGCAGGCAGGAGUCGGUCUACUAAUCUUGGACGUGAUGCCUAUGUAAUGAUCAUUGCCAGGAUAUCGUCAUAAUUAUUUGAAGUUCUAUCAAUUUCCCAACAGUAAUUUGUUUACCCACCGUUUGCUAUCUUUCUCGAGAGAAGCCACUAGUGAAACCUACAGCCCCGAGUCUUCUUUCUCAUAUAUUUGCUUUGCGAUCUACUUUUUCCUUGCGUUUAUUUUCAGAUCUAUUAAACCAAAAAUACAAAAAAAUACCUUGAUGCAAUUUAUUCUUAUUUAUUUUAUUUGGCGUUCGAUCUAUCAAUCUACUACAAAUUUACCUCACGUCCUUUUGCCUAUCUUGAGGCGCUGUACCCCGAAAGGGAUUGACAACCCCUUUAACAUGUCGGGUUGCGAGGUGUUGUUGUUUGUGUGCAGGGGAUGUUUACGUUGUGUUGCUUGGUUCUCCUACUAGUUCGAUAACCUUGGUUUCAUAUCUGAGGGAAAUACCUACCGCCGUUGUGCUGCAUCAUCCCUUCCUCUUUGGGGAAAUAUCGACGUAGCUUCAAGCGACAUCAAAAGGAAUUUCUGGCGCCGUUGCCGGGGAGGAUCUUCAACAUAACCAGGUUCCUAAUCACAAAUCUCAUCUCCUCGCAAUUUACAUUAUUUGCCAUUUGCCUCUCGUUUUCCUCUCCCCCACUUCACAAAAAAUUUGCCAUUUUAUUCGCCUUUCUUUUUCACCGAUCUCUUGUCUCUAGUCCCGAUGGCUAGCGUCCCUACUCCUCCUUUGUCACCAGAUUUUGAAGUUCUUUACUUCAAGCAAAGACAAGGAGAAAAGUUGAAAGAUGCCUGGUAUAGGCUUAUGGAAUCGUAUCGUGUUUCCAACCUAAAGGGGGAUGCUAAGGUUUUGCUUCGUAAUUUUUACAUAGGAUUAGCUUUGCAUCAUAGACAACUUCUUGAUUUUGCCGCUAAAGGAAAUUUUAUUGAGCUUGAUGCAAACGCUGCCUAUGAAAUCUUGGAAGGAAUUUUGGGAAUUCCUCCUCAAAAGAAGGGGUUUUCCUUUACCCCUGAGGGAGUUCAAAUGUUGGACAAACUUGGUGAUUUACAUAAACAUAUGGUCGAAAUACAGAAAUAUAAUGAACCCCCCAAGCACCUCAAUGGUAGUAUCAAUCGCAUGAAUACCUUGAUUACUCUUUGCAACAAGCGACUGGAUAUUUUGGAUCUUAAGAUGGUUUCUUUUUCGGAGAAUUUAGGGAAGCGUAAAGAGCCUCCCGGGUUUGAGAAAAUUGUUACAAAAGUUGCCAAAACUUCGAAAGACAAAACUCUACCUUGCUUUAUGCCUAGCUAAGGGCGUAAAACUAUAGCGCUUGUUGGGAGGCAACCCAAUGAAUACAUUUUAUUUUUUCUUUCUGUUCUUGAGUGUUAACACAAUUAUGCUACUGUUAUGACUGUGUUUUUUAUGUUUUAAUUAGUGUUUGUGCCAAGUAAAGCCUUUAGGAUCUUCUUGGGUGAUAGUUGUUUGAUCUUGCUGAAAAAGACAGAAACUUUGCACUCAUGAAAAUAAUUUUCAUAAAUCACAGAAAAGAGCUUUUGCCCUGAUUCUUUUUGCAGAAGAUUAAUACACAAAUUAUGCUGGUAGUCCUAAUUUGUUUGAAUUGUUGGAGUUCCAGAAGUAUUCGAAAGUUCCAGAUUACUACAGACUGUUCUGUUUUGACAUAUUCUGUUUUCUUUGUGUUGUGUGCUUAGUUUGAUGGCUCUAUGGUUUUCUUUGAUGAGUUUUUGCCAUAAAAAAGUUGGAAUACAGUAGAUAUAAUACAAAAACAAAAUAUGAAUUGGUUUGACACAACACUUAUAGUAGUGGUUUGCUUUCUUUCACUAACGGAUCUCACAAAGGUUUUGUUGAGUUUUCUGUGAUUGAAGUUUUCAAGUUUUGGGUUAUCUUACGAUGGAUGAGAGAAGGAUAGAAGAGCCUAAGCUUGGGGAUGCCCCGGCAUCCCAAGCAUUAUCCAAGAAUGAGCAACCAACUAAGCUUGGGGAUGCCCCCGAGUGGCAUCCCCUCUUUCUUCUAACGACCAUCGGUAUUUUACUCGAGGCUAUAUUUUUAUUCCUCACAUGAUAUGUGUUUUGCUUGGAGCGUCUUGUAUGAUAUGUGUCUUUGCUUGUUUUAUUUUGUGUUUUAAGUCAUCAAUCCUUGCUGGACACACUUAUUUGGGAGAGCCAAAAUUAUGUCUUGACUUGUUAGAAUUGCUCUCUAUGCUUCACUUAAAUUUUUAUGAGCUAGGACUUGCUCUAGUGCUUCACUUAUAUCUUUUUGAGCAAGGUGUGCUUAGUAUUUUUUGAAGAAAUACUCUCUUGCUUCACUUAGAUUUAUUUGAGAGUUAGUAAAAUUUUGAAGAAAUUCUCUCUUGCUCCACUUAAAUUAUUUUGAGAGAAAGAAAAUAUGUUAUGCUCAUGAUCUUCACUUAUAUUUGUUUGAGCUUAUGUAAAGCAACGCAUGAAAAUUAGUCCCAAAGUGAUAGAUAUCCAAGAAGGAUAAAGAGACAAAUAUAUAUAUAUAUAUAUAUAUAUAUAUAUAUAUGUCAUGAAGAUCGUUGGACAAAAUAAACUUGAUUCUUAGUAAUAGUUUUGAGAUGUGAUGAUGUGAUAUGUGAGUUAUGUUGAUGAGUAAUUAUGCUCUAGUAAGAAUAUUGGUGUUAAGGUUUGUGAUUCCCUAUGCAUGCACGAAAGUCAAUAAUCUUGCAAUGAAAAUUAUAUCCUACUUGUGGUGCAUUAUUCGGUGUUAAUUAUGCUUAAUGCUUGCUUAUGAGAUUAUUCUUUUCUUGGUUGGUCGCUUCUCAAUCUUUUUGCUAGCCUUCAUUUUGCACUAAGUAUGACCUCUACUUGUGCAUCCAAAAUCCUUUAAACCAUCUUUGCCACAUGAGUCCACUAUAUCUACCUAUAUGCGGUAUUCUUUUGCCUUUCUAAGCAAAUUUACAUGUGCCAUCUCUAAUUUUCGAAAUAAACUUCUCUUUUGUGUGUUUGUUUUGCUCACGGAACUGUAACGGGUGGCUAAUAUUUUCCAUGCUGGAUGUGUUAUUCGCACGAUGAGUGUUUAUUCACUUGUCAUUGCACGGGAGUAAGGCAAAGGUUUUAGGGAUGCCCAGUGUUGGAAAUAUGCCCUAGAGGCAAUAAUAAAUGGUUAUUAUUAUAUUUCUUUGUUCAUGAUAAUAGUCUAUUAUUCAUGCUAUAAUUGUAUUGUCCGGAAAUCGUAAUACAUGUGUGAAUACAUAGACCACAACGUGUCCCUAGUAAGCCUCUAGUUGACUAGCUCGUUGAUCAACAGAUAGUCAUGGUUUCCUGACUAUGGACAUUGGAUGUCAUUGAUAACGGGAUCACAUCAUUAGGAGAAUGAUGUGAUGGACAAGACCCAAUCCUAAGCAUAGCAUAAAAGAUCGUGUAGUUUCGUUUGCUAGAGCUUUUCCAAUGUCAAGUAUCUUUUCCUUAGACCAUGAGAUCGUGCAACUCCCGGAUACCGUAGGAGUGCUUUGGGUGUGCCAAACGUCACAACGUAACUGGGUGACUAUAAAGGUGCACUACGGGUAUCUCCGAAAGUGUCUGUUGGGUUGGCACGGAUCGAGACUGGGAUUUGUCACUCCGUGUGACGGAGAAGUAUCUCUGGGCCCACUCGGUAAUGCAUCAUCAUAAUGAGCUCAAUGUGACUAAGGCGUUAGUCACGGGAUCAUGCAUUGCGGUACGAGUAAAGAGACUUGCCGGUAACGAGAUUGAACAAGGUAUUGGGAUACCGACGAUCGAAUCUCGGGCAAGUAACAUACCGAUUGACAAAGGGAAUUGCAUACGGGAUUGAUUGAAUCCUCGACACCGUGGUUCAUCCGAUGAGAUCAUCGUGGAACAUGUGGGAGCCAACAUGGGUAUCCAGAUCCCGCUGUUGGUUAUUGACCGGAGAGGCGUCUCGGUCAUGUCUGCAUGUCUCCCGAACCCGUAGGGUCUACACACUUAAGGUUCGGUGACGCUAGGGUUGUAGAGAUAUAUGUAUGCGGAAACCCGAAAGUUGUUCGGAGUCCCGGAUGAGAUCCCGGACGUCACGAGAGGUUCCGGAAUGGUCCGGAGGUGAAGAAUUAUAUAUAGGAAGUCCAGUUUCGGCCACCGGGAAAGUUUCGGGGGUUACCGGUAUUGUACCGGGACCACCGGAAGGGUCCCGGGGGUCCACCGGGUGGGGCCUGUUGGGAAUCGUAGCAUAAUUUAAAAUUUUCCUACGCUCACCAAGAUGCAUCUAUGGAGUCUACUAGCAACGAGGGGAAAGGAGUGGAUCUACAUACCCUUGUAGAUCGCGAGCGGAAGCGUUCCAAUGAACGUGGAUGACGGAGUCGUACUCGCCGUGAUCCAAAUCACCGAUGACCGAGUGUCGAACGGACGGCACCUCCGCGUUCAACACACGUACGGUGCAGCGACGUCUCCUCCUUCUUGAUCCAGCAAGGGGGAAGGAGAGGUUGAUGGAGAUCCAACAGCACGACGGCGUGGUGGUGGAUGUAGCGGGUCUCCGGCAGGGCUUCGCCGAGCUUCUGCGAGAGAGAGAGAGGUGUUGCAGGGGAGGAGGGAGGCGCCCAAGGCUUAGAUCUUGCUGCCCUCCCUUCCCCCCACUAUAUAUAGGGCCAAGGGAGAGGGGGGGGGGCGCAGCCUUGCCCCUUCCUUCAAGGAAGGGUGCGGCCAGGGGGGAGUCCUUCCCCCCCAAGGCACCUCGGAGGUGCCUUCCCCCUUUAGGACUCUCCCUUCUUUCUUAUCUCUUGCGCAUGGGCCUCUUGGGGCUGGUGCCCUUGGCCCAUAUAGGCCAAGGCGCACCCCUUACAGCCCAUGUGGCCCCCCGGGGCUGGUGGACCCCCUUGGUGGACCCCCGGACCCCUUUCGGCACUCCCGGUACAAUACCGAUAAAGCGCGAAACUUUUCCGGCGACCAAAAUAAGACUUCCCAUAUAUAAAUCUUUACCUCCGGACCAUUCCGGAACCUCUCGUGACGUCCGGGAUCUCAUCCGGGACUCCGAACACCUUUCGGGUUUCCGCAUACAUAUAUCUCUACAACCCUAGCGUCACCGGACCUUAAGUGUGUAGACCCUACGGGUUCGGGAGACAUGCAGACAUGACCGAGACGCCUCUCCGGUCAAUAACCAACAGCGGGAUCUGGAUACCCAUGUUGGCUCCCACAUGUUCCACGAUGAUAUCAUCGGAUGAACCACGGUGUCGAGGAUUCAAUCAAUCCGUAUGCAAUUCCCUUUGUCAAUCGGUAUGUUACUUGCCCGAGAUUCGAUCAUCGGUAUCCCAAUACCUUGUUCAAUCUCGUUACCGGCAAGUCUCUUUACUCGUACCGCAAUGCAUGAUCCCGUGACUAACGCCUUAGUCACAUUGAGCUCAUUAUGAUGAUGCAUUACCGAGUGGGCCCAGAGAUACCUCUCCGUUUACACGGAGUGACAAAUCCCAGUCUCGAUCCGUGCCAACCCAACAAACACUUUCGGAGAUACCCGUAAUGCACCUUUAUAGUCACCCAGUUACGUUGUGACGUUUGGCACACCCAAAGCACUCAUACGGUAUCCGGGAGUUGCACGAUCUCAUGGUCUAAGGAAAAGAUACUUGACAUUGGAAAAGCUCUAGCAAACGAAACUACACGAUCUUUUAUGCUAUGCUUAAGUUGGGUCUUGUCCAUCACAUCAUUCUCCUAAUGAUGUGAUCCCGUUAUCAAUGACAUCCAAUGUCCAUAGUCAGGAAACCAUGACUAUCUGUUGAUCAACGAGCUAGUCAACUAGAGGCUUACUAGGGACAGGUUGUGGUCUAUGUAUUCACACAUGUAUUAUGAUUUCCGGACAAUACAAUUAUAGCACGAAUAAUAGACUAUUAUCAUGAACACAGAAAUAUAAUAAUAACCAUUUAUUAUUGCCUCUAGGGCAUAUUUCCAACAAUUGCCCUUGCGAAGGAGCCCAGGUUUCACAGGAAGACCAGGCAUAUCAAGCGUCGCUUCAACUCCAUUCGUGAAAGUGUUCAAAAUGGAGACAUAGAUAUUUGUAAAGUACAUACGGACCUGAAUGUAGCAGAUCCGUUGACUAAACCUCUCCCUAGGGCAAAACAUGAUCAACACCAGGACGCAAUGGGUGUUCGAUUCAUCACAAUGUAACUAGAUUAUUGACUCUAGUGCAAGUGGGAGACUGUUGGAAAUAUGCCCUAGAGGCAAUAAUAAAUGGUUAUUAUUAUAUUUCUUUGUUCAUGAUAAUCGUCUAUUGUUCAUGCUAUAAUUGUAUUGUCCGGAAAUCGUAAUACAUGUGUGAACACAUAGACCACAACGUGUCCCUAGUAAGCCUCUAGUUGACUAGCUCGUUGAUCAACAGAUAGUCAUGGUUUCCUGACUAUGGACAUUGGAUGUCAUUGAUAACGGGAUCACAUCAUUAGGAGAAUGAUGUGAUGGACAAGACCCAAUCCUAAGCAUAGCAUAAAAGAUCGUGUAGUUUCGUUUGCUAGAGCUUUUCGAAUGUCAAGUAUCUUUUCCUUAGACCAUGAGAUCGUGCAACUCCCGGAUACCGUAGGAGUGCUUUGGGUGUGCCAAACGUCACAACGUAACUGGGUGACUAUAAAGGUGCACUACGGGUAUCUCCGAAAGUGUCUGUUGGGUUGGCACGGAUCGAGACUGGGAUUUGUCACUCCGUGUGACGGAGAGGUAUCUCUGGGCCCACUCGGUAAUGCAUCAUCAUAAUGAGCUCAAUGUGACUAAGGCGUUAGUCACGGGAUCAUGCAUUGCGGUACGAGUAAAGAGACUUGCCGGUAACGAGAUUGAACAAGGUAUUGGGAUACCGACGAUCGAAUCCCGGGCAAGUAACAUACCGAUUGACAAAGGGAAUUGCAUACGGAUUGAUUGAAUCCUCGACACCGUGGUUCAUCCGAUGAUAUCAUCGUGGAACAUGUGGGAGCCAACAUGGGUAUCCAGAUCCCGCUGUUGGUUAUUGACCGGAGAGGCGUCUCGGUCAUGUCUGCAUGUCUCCCGAACCCGUAGGGUCUACACACUUAAGGUCCGGUGACGCUAGGGUUGUAGAGAUAUAUGUAUGCGGAAACCCGAAAGUUGUUCGGAGUCCCGGAUGAGAUCCCGGACGUCACGAGAGGUUCCGGAAUGGUCCGGAGGUGAAGAAUUAUAUAUAGGAAGUCAAGUUUUGGCCACCGGGAAAGUUUCGGGGGUUACCGGUAUUGUACCGGGACCACCGGAAGGGUCCCGGGGGUCCACCGGGUGGGGCCACCUAUCCCGGAGGGCCCCAUGGGCUGAAAGUGGAAGGGAACCAGCCCCUAGUGGGCUGGGCGCCCCCCAUGGGCCUCCCCCCAUGCGCCUAGGGUUGGGAACCCUAGGGUGGGGGGGCUUUCCCCUUGCCUUGGGGGGCAAGGCAACCCCUUCCCCCCCCCUUGGCCGCCGCCCCCCAACCCUAGAUGGGUUUUGGCCGGCCCCCUUCCCAAGGGGGACUAUAUAAAGGGGGGGGGGGGAGGAAGGGCAGCACCCUACAGCCUUGGGCGCCUCCCUCCUCCCCUGCAACACCUCUCUCUCUCUCUCGCAGAAGCUCGGCGAAGCCCUGCCGGAGACCCGCUACAUCCACCACCACGCCGUCGUGCUGUUGGAUCUCCAUCAACCUCUCCUUCCCCCUUGCUGGAUCAAGAAGGAGGAGACGUCGCUGCACCGUACGUGUGUUGAACGCGGAGGUGCCGUCCGUUCGGCACUCGGUCAUCGGUGAUUUGGAUCACGACGAGUACGACUCCGUCAUCCACGUUCAUUGGAACGCUUCCGCUCGCGAUCUACAAGGGUAUGUAGAUCCACUCCUUUCCCCUCGUUGCUAGUAGACUCCACAGAUGCAUCUUGGUGAGCGUAGGAAAAUUUUAAAAUUAUGCUACGAUUCCCAACAGUGGCAUCAUGAGCCAGGUCUAUGCGUAGUUACUAUGCACGAGUAGAACACAAAGCAGUUGUGGGCGUUGAGUUUGCCAAUUCUUCUUGCCGCUACUAGUCUUUUCUUGUUUCGGCGGCAUUGUAGGAUGAAGCGGCCCGGACCGACCUUACACGUACACUUACGUGAGACAGGUUCCACCGACUGACAUGCACUAGAUGCAUAAGGUGGCUAGCGGGUGUCUGUCUCUCCUACUUUAGUCGGAACGGAUUCGAUGAAAAGGGUCCUUAUGAAGGGUAAAUAGAAAUUGGCAAAUCACGUUGUGGUCAUACGUAGGUAAGAAACGUUCUUGCUAGAAACCUACAAACCACGUAAAAACCUGCAACAACAAUUAGAGGACGUCUAACUUGUUUUUGCAGCAAGUGCUAUGUGAUGUGAUAUGGCCAGAAGAUGUGAUGAAUGAUAUAUGUGAUGUAUGAGAUUGAUCAUAUUCUUGUAAUAGGAAUCACGACCUACAUGUCGAUGAGUAUGACAACCGGCAGGAGCCAUAGGAGUUGUCUUUAUUAUUUUGUAUGACCUGCGUGUCAUUGAAUAACGCCAUGUAAAUUACUUUACUUCGUUGCUAAACGCGUUAGCCAUAGAAGUAGAAGUAAUCGUUGGCGUGCCGACUUCAUGAAGACACAAUGAUGGAGAUCAUGGUGUCAUGCCGGUGACAAAGAUGAUCAUGGUGCCCCGAAGAUGGAGAUCAAAGGAGCAUAAUGAUAUUGGCCAUAUCAUGUCACUAUUUGAUUGCAUGUGAUGUUUAUCAUGUUUUUGCAUCUUAUUUGCUUAGAACGACGGUAGUAAGUAAGAUGAUCCCUUAUAAUAAUUUCAAGAAAGUGUUCACCCUAACUGUGCACCGUUGCGAAGGUUCGUUGUUUCGAAGCACCACGUGAUGAUCGGGUGUGAUAGAUUCUAACGUUCGAAUACAACGGGUGUUGACGAGACUAGCAUGUACAGACAUGGCCUCGGAACACACGCAAUACACUUAGGUUGACUUGACGAGCCUAGCAUGUACAGACAUGGCCUCGGAACACGGAGGACCGAAAGGUCGAGCAUGAGUCGUAUAGAAGAUACGAUCAACAUGAAGAUGUUCACCGAUCUUGACUAGUCCGUCUCACGUGAUGAUCGGACACGGCCUAGUUAAACUCGGAUCAUGUUUCACUUAGAUGACUAGAGGGAUGUCUAUCUGAGUGGGAGUUCAUUAAAUAAUUUGAUUAGAUGAACUCAAUUAUCAUGAACUUAGUCUAAAAUCUUUACACUAUGUAUUGUAGAUCAAAUGGCCAACGUUGUCCUCAAUUUCAACGCGUUCCUAGAGAAAACCAAGCUGAAAGAUGAUGGCAGCAACUAUACGGACUGGGUCCGGAACCUGAGGCUCAUCCUCAUAGUAGCCAAGAAAGAUUAUGUCUUAGAAGCACCGCUAGGUGAUGCACCAAUCCCACAGAACCAAGACGUUAUGAACGCUUGGCAAUCACGUGCUGAUGAUUACUCCCUCGUUCAGUGCGGCAUGCUUUACAGCUUAGAACCGGGUCUCCAAAAGCGUUUUGAGAAACAUGGAGCAUAUGAGAUGUUCGAGGAGAUGAAACUAGUUUUCCAAGCUCAUGCCCGGGUCGAGAGAUAUGAUGUCUCCGACAAGUUCUUCAGCUGUAAAAUGGAGGAGAACAGUUCUGUUAGUGAGCACAUACUCAGAAUGUCUGGGUUGCACAACCGCUUGUCUCAACUGGGAGUUAAUCUCCCGGAUGACGCGGUCAUUGACAGAAUCCUCCAGUCGCUUCCACCAAGCUACAAGAGCUUUGUGAUGAACUACAAUAUGCAGGGGAUGGAAAAGACCAUUCCCGAGGUAUAUUCAAUGCUGAAAUCAGCGGAAGGGGAGAUCAGAAAAGAACAUCAAGUGUUGAUGGUGAAUAAAACCACCAAGUUCAAGAAGGGCAAGGGUAAGAAGAACUUCAAGAAGGACGGCAAGGGAGUUGCCGCGCCCGGUAAACCAGUUACUGGGAAGAAGUCAAAGAAUGGACCCAAGCCCGGGACUGAGUGCUUUUAUUGCAAGGGAAGUGGUCACUGGAAGCGGAACUGCCCCAAAUAUUUAGCGGACAAGAAGAAGGCCGGCAACACCCAAGGUAUAUGUGAUAUACAAGUAAUUGAUGUGUACCUUACCAGUACUCGUAGUAGCUCCUGGGUAUUUGAUACCGGUGCGGUUGCUCAUAUUUGUAACUCAAAACAGGAACUACGGAAUAAACGGAGACUGGCAAGGGACGAGGUGACGAUGUGCGUCGGGAAUGGUUCCAAGGUCGAUGUGAUCGCCGUCGGCACGCUACCUCUGCAUCUACCCACGGGAUUAGUUUUAAACCUCAAUAAUUGUUAUUUAGUGCCAGCUUUGAGCAUGAACAUUGUGUCUGGAUCUCGUUUAAUUCGAGAUGGCUACUCAUUUAAAUCCGAGAAUAAUGGUUGUUCUAUUUAUUUGAGAUAUAUGUUUUAUGGUCAUGCCCCGCUGGUCAAUGGUUUAUUUUUGAUGAAUCUCGAACGUGAUGUUACACAUGUUCAUAGUGUGAAUACCAAAAGAUGUAAAGUUGAUAACGAUAGUCCCACAUACUUGUGGCACUGCCGCCUUGGUCACAUUGGUGUCAAGCGCAUGAAGAAGCUCCAUGCAGAUGGACUUUUGGAGUCUCUUGAUUACGAAUCAUUUGACACGUGCGAACCAUGCCUCAUGGGUAAGAUGACUAAGACUCCGUUCUCCGGAACAAUGGAACGAGCAACCAACCUAUUGGAAAUCAUACAUACCGAUGUGUGCGGUCCAAUGAGUGUUGAGGCUCGCGGAGGAUAUCGUUAUGUUCUCACUCUCACUGAUGAUUUAAGUAGAUAUGGAUAUGUCUACCUGAUGAAACACAAGUCUGAAACCUUUGAAAAGUUGAAAGAAUUUCAGAGUGAAGUUGAGAAUCAACGUGACAGGAGAAUAAAAUUUCUACGAUCAGAUCGUGGUGGAGAAUAUUUAAGUCACGAGUUUGGUGCACACUUAAGGAAAUGUGGAAUAGUUUCACAACUCACGCCGCCUGGAACACCUCAGAGAAAUGGUGUGUCCGAACGUCGUAAUCGCACUCUAUUGGAUAUGGUGCGAUCUAUGAUGUCUCUUACCGAUUUACCGCUCUCAUUUUGGGGUUAUGCUUUAGAGACUGCCGCAUUCACUUUAAAUAGGGCUCCGUCGAAAUCCGUUGAGACGACACCGUAUGAAUUAUGGUUUGGGAAGAAACCUAAGCUGUCGUUUCUAAAAGUUUGGGGAUGCGAUGCUUAUGUCAAGAAACUUCAACCUGAAAAGCUCGAACCCAAGUCGGAAAAAUGCGUCUUCAUAGGAUACCCUAAGGAAACGAUUGGGUAUACCUUCUACCUCAGAUCCGAAGGCAAGAUCUUCGUUGCCAAGAACGGGUCCUUUCUGGAGAAGGAGUUUCAUUCGAAAGAAUUGAGUGGGAGGAAAGUGGAACUUGAUGAGGUGAUAGUCACCCCUUCUGAACCGGAAAGUAGCGCAGCGCAGGAAAAUGUUCCUGUGGUGCCUACACCGACUGGGGAGGAAGUUAAUGAUGAUGAUCAUGAAGCUUCGGAUCAAGUUACUGAACUUCGUAGGUCCACAAGGACACGUUCCGCACCAGAGUGGUACGGCAACCCUGUCCUAGAAAUCAUGUUGUUAGACAACGGUGAACCUUCGAACUAUGAAGAAGCGAUGGCGGGCCCGGAUUCCGACAAAUGGCUUGAAGCCAUGAAAUCCGAGAUAGGAUCCAUGUAUGAAAACGAAGUAUGGACUUUGACUGACUUGCCCGAUGAUCGGCGAGCCAUAGAAAACAAAUGGAUCUUUAAGAAGAAGACGGACGCAGAUGGUAAUGUGACCAUCUACAAAGCUCGACUUGUCGCUAAGGGUUAUCGACAAGUUCAAGGGGUUGACUACGAUGAGACUUUCUCACCCGUAGCGAAGCUGAAGUCCGUCCGAAUCAUGUUAGCAAUUGCCGCAUACUAUGAUUAUGAGAUAUGGCAGAUGGACGUCAAAACGGCAUUCCUUAACGGCUUCCUUAAGGAAGAGUUGUAUAUGAUGCAGCCGGAAGGUUUUGUCGAUCCUAAGAAUGCUAGCAAAGUAUGCAAGCUCCAGCGCUCAAUCUAUGGGCUGGUGCAAGCAUCUCGGAGUUGGAACAUUCGGUUUGAUGAGAUGAUCAAAGCGUUUGGGUUUACACACACUUAUGGAGAAGCCUGUGUUUACAAGAAAGUGAGUGGGAGCUCUGUAGCAUUUCUCAUAUUAUAUGUGGAUGACAUAUUAUUGAUGGGAAAUGAUAUAGAAUUCUUGGAAAGUAUAAAGGCCUAUUUGAAUAAGUGUUUUUCGAUGAAGGACCUUGGAGAAGCUGCUUAUAUAUUAGGCAUCAAGAUCUAUAGAGAUAGAUCAAGACGCCUCAUUGGUCUUUCACAGAGUACAUACCUUGAUAAGAUAUUGAAGAAGUUCAGUAUGGAUCAGUCCAAGAAGGGGUUCUUGCCUGUAUUGCAAGGUGUGCAAUUGAGCACGGCUCAAUGCCCGACCACGGCAGAAGAUAUAGAAGAGAUGAGUGUCAUCCCCUAUGCCUCGGCCAUAGGGUCUAUUAUGUAUGCCAUGCUGUGUACCAGACCUGAUGUAAACCUUGCUGUAAGUUUGGUAGGAAGGUACCAAAGUAAUCCCGGCAAGGAACACUGGACAGCGGUCAAGAAUAUCCUGAAGUACCUAAAGAGGACUAAGGAUAUGUUUCUCGUUUAUGGAGGUGACGAAGAGCUCGUCGUAAAGGGUUACGUCGACGCUAGCUUCGACACAGAUCUGGAUGACUCGAAGUCACAGACCGGAUACGUGUAUAUUUUGAAUAGAGGAGUAGUAAGCUGGUGCAGUUGCAAGCAAAGCGUCGUGGCGGGAUCUACAUGUGAAGCGGAGUACAUGGCAGCCUUGGAGGCAGCACAGGAAGCAGUCUGGAUGAAGGAGUUCAUUACCGACCUAGGGGUGAUUCCCAAUGCGUCGGGCCCGAUGACUCUCUUCUGUGACAACACUGGAGCUAUUGCCCUUGCGAAGGAGCCCAGGUUUCACAGGAAGACCAGGCAUAUCAAGCGUCGCUUCAACUCCAUUCGUGAAAGUAUUCAAAAUGGAGACAUAGAUAUUUGUAAAGUACACACGGACCUGAAUGUAGCAGAUCCGUUGACUAAACCUCUCCCUAGGGCAAAACAUGAUCAACACCAGGACGCAAUGGGUGUUCGAUUCAUCACAAUGUAACUAGAUUAUUGACUCUAGUGCAAGUGGGAGACUGUUGGAAAUAUGCCCUAGAGGCAAUAAUAAAUGGUUAUUAUUAUAUUUCUUUGUUCAUGAUAAUAGUCUAUUAUUCAUGCUAUAAUUGUAUUGUCCGGAAAUCGUAAUACAUGUGUGAAUACAUAGACCACAACGUGUCCCUAGUAAGCCUCUAGUUGACUAGCUCGUUGAUCAACAGAUAGUCAUGGUUUCCUGACUAUGGACAUUGGAUGUCAUUGAUAACGGGAUCACAUCAUUAGGAGAAUGAUGUGAUGGACAAGACCCAAUCCUAAGCAUAGCAUAAAAGAUCGUGUAGUUUCGUUUGCUAGAGCUUUUCCAAUGUCAAGUAUCUUUUCCUUAGACCAUGAGAUCGUGCAACUCCCGGAUACCGUAGGAGUGCUUUGGGUGUGCCAAACGUCACAACGUAACUGGGUGACUAUAAAGGUGCAUUACGGGUAUCUCCGAAAGUGUCUGUUGGGUUGGCACGGAUCGAGACUGAGAUUUGUCACACCGUGUGACGGAGAGGUAUCUCUGGGCCCACUCGGUAAUGCAUCAUCAUAAUGAGCUCAAUGUGACUAAGGCAUUAGUCACGGGAUCAUGCAUUGCGGUACGAGUAAAGAGACUUGCCGGUAACGAGAUUGAACAAGGUAUUGGGAUACCGACGAUCGAAUCUCGGGCAAGUAACAUACCGAUUGACAAAGGGAAUUGCAUACGGGAUUGAUUGAAUCCUCGACACCGUGGUUCAUCCGAUGAGAUCAUCGUGGAACAUGUGGGAGCCAACAUGGGUAUCCAGAUCCCGCUGUUGGUUAUUGACCGGAGAGGCGUCUCGGUCAUGUCUGCAUGUCUCCCGAACCCGUAGGGUCUACACACUUAAGGUUCGGUGACGCUAGGGUUGUAGAGAUAUAUGUAUGCGGAAACCCGAAAGUUGUUCGGAGUCCCGGAUGAGAUCCCGGACGUCACGAGAGGUUCCGGAAUGGUCCGGAGGUGAAGAAUUAUAUAUAGGAAGUCCAGUUUCGGCCACCGGGAAAGUUUCGGGGGUUACCGGUAUUGUACCGGGACCACCGGAAGGGUCCCGGGGGUCCACCGGGUGGGGCCUGUUGGGAAUCGUAGCAUAAUUUAAAAUUUUCCUACGCUCACCAAGAUGCAUCUAUGGAGUCUACUAGCAACGAGGGGAAAGGAGUGGAUCUACAUACCCUUGUAGAUCGCGAGCGGAAGCGUUCCAAUGAACGUGGAUGACGGAGUCGUACUCGCCGUGAUCCAAAUCACCGAUGACCGAGUGUCGAACGGACGGCACCUCCGCGUUCAACACACGUACGGUGCAGCGACGUCUCCUCCUUCUUGAUCCAGCAAGGGGGAAGGAGAGGUUGAUGGAGAUCCAACAGCACGACGGCGUGGUGGUGGAUGUAGCGGGUCUCCGGCAGGGCUUCGCCGAGCUUCUGCGAGAGAGAGAGAGGUGUUGCAGGGGAGGAGGGAGGCGCCCAAGGCUUAGAUCUUGCUGCCCUCCCUUCCCCCCACUAUAUAUAGGGCCAAGGGAGAGGGGGGGGCGCAGCCUUGCCCCUUCCUUCAAGGAAGGGUGCGGCCAGGGGGGAGUCCUUCCCCCCCAAGGCACCUCGGAGGUGCCUUCCCCCUUUAGGACUCUCCCUUCUUUCUUAUCUCUUGCGCAUGGGCCUCUUGGGGCUGGUGCCCUUGGCCCAUAUAGGCCAAGGCGCACCCCUUACAGCCCAUGUGGCCCCCCGGGGCUGGUGGACCCUCGGACCCCUUUCGGCACUCCCGGUACAAUACCGAUAAAGCGCGAAACUUUUCCGGCGACCAAAAUAAGACUUCCCAUAUAUAAAUCUUUACCUCCGGACCAUUCCGGAACCUCUCGUGACGUCCGGGAUCUCAUCCGGGACUCCGAACAACUUUCGGGUUUCCGCAUACAUAUAUCUCUACAACCCUAGCGUCACCGGACCUUAAGUGUGUAGACCCUACGGGUUCGGGAGACAUGCAGACAUGACCGAGACGCCUCUCCGGUCAAUAACCAACAGCGGGAUCUGGAUACCCAUGUUGGCUCCCACAUGUUCCACGAUGAUAUCAUCGGGUGAACCACGGUGUCGAGGAUUCAAUCAAUCCGUAUGCAAUUCCCUUUGUCAAUCGGUAUGUUACUUGCCCGAGAUUCGAUCGUCGGUAUCCCAAUACCUAGUUCAAUCUCGUUACUGGCAAGUCUCUUUACUCGUACCGUAAUGCAUGAUCCCGUGACUAACGCCUUAGUCACAUUGAGCUCAUUAUGAUGAUGCAUUACCGAGUGGGCCCAGAGAUACCUCUCCGUUUACACGGAGUGACAAAUCCCAGUCUCGAUCCGUGCCAACCCAACAGACACUUUCGGAGAUACCCGUAAUGCACCUUUAUAGUCACCCAGUUACGUUGUGACGUUUGGCACACCCAAAGCACUCAUACGGUAUCCGGGAGUUGCACGAUCUCAUGGUCUAAGGAAAAGAUACUUGACAUUGGAAAAGCUCUAGCAAACGAAACUACACGAUCUUUUAUGCUAUGCUUAAGUUGGGUCUUGUCCAUCACAUCAUUCUCCUAAUGAUGUGAUCCCGUUAUCAAUGACAUCCAAUGUCCAUAGUCAGGAAACCAUGACUAUCUGUUGAUCAACGAGCUAGUCAACUAGAGGCUUACUAGGGACAGGUUGUGGUCUAUGUAUUCACACAUGUAUUAUGAUUUCCGGACAAUACAAUUAUAGCACGAAUAAUAGACUAUUAUCAUGAACACAGAAAUAUAAUAAUAACCAUUUAUUAUUGCCUCUAGGGCAUAUUUCCAACAAUUGCCCUUGCGAAGGAGCCCAGGUUUCACAGGAAGACCAGGCAUAUCAAGCGUCGCUUCAACUCCAUUCGUGAAAGUGUUCAAAAUGGAGACAUAGAUAUUUGUAAAGUACAUACGGACCUGAAUGUAGCAGAUCCGUUGACUAAACCUCUCCCUAGGGCAAAACAUGAUCAACACCAGGACGCAAUGGGUGUUCGAUUCAUCACAAUGUAACUAGAUUAUUGACUCUAGUGCAAGUGGGAGACUGUUGGAAAUAUGCCCUAGAGGCAAUAAUAAAUGGUUAUUAUUAUAUUUCUUUGUUCAUGAUAAUCGUCUAUUGUUCAUGCUAUAAUUGUAUUGUCCGGAAAUCGUAAUACAUGUGUGAACACAUAGACCACAACGUGUCCCUAGUAAGCCUCUAGUUGACUAGCUCGUUGAUCAACAGAUAGUCAUGGUUUCCUGACUAUGGACAUUGGAUGUCAUUGAUAACGGGAUCACAUCAUUAGGAGAAUGAUGUGAUGGACAAGACCCAAUCCUAAGCAUAGCAUAAAAGAUCGUGUAGUUUCGUUUGCUAGAGCUUUUCCAAUGUCAAGUAUCUUUUCCUUAGACCAUGAGAUCGUGCAACUCCCGGAUACCGUAGGAGUGCUUUGGGUGUGCCAAACGUCACAACGUAACUGGGUGACUAUAAAGGUGCACUACGGGUAUCUCCGAAAGUGUCUGUUUGGUUGGCACGGAUCGAGACUGGGAUUUGUCACUCCGUGUGACGGAGAGGUAUCUCUGGGCCCACUCGGUAAUGCAUCAUCAUAAUGAGCUCAAUGUGACUAAGGCGUUGGUCACGGGAUCAUGCAUUGCGGUACGAGUAAAGAGAAUUGCCAGUAACGAGAUUGAACAAGGUAUUGGGAUACCGACGAUCGAAUCUCGGGCAAGUAACAUACCGAUUGACAAAGGGAAUUGCAUACGGACUGAUUGAAUCCUCGACACCGUGGUUCAUCCGAUGAUAUCAUCGUGGAACAUGUGGGAGCCAACAUGGGUAUCCAGAUCCCGCUGUUGGUUAUUGACCGGAGAGGCGUCUCGGUCAUUUCUGCAUGUCUCCCGAACCCGUAGGGUCUACACACUUAAGGUCCGGUGACGCUAGGGUUGUAGAGAUAUAUGUAUGCGGAAACCCGAAAGUUGUUCGGAGUCCCGGAUGAGAUCCCGGACAUCACGAGAGGUUCCGGAAUGGUCCGGAGGUGAAGAAUUAUAUAUAGGAAGUCAAGUUUCGGCCACCGGGAAAGUUUCGGGGGUUACCGGUAUUGUACCGGGACCACCGGAAGGGUCCCGGGGGUCCACCGGGUGGGGCCACCUAUCUCGGAGGGCCCCAUGGGCUGAAAGUGGAAGGGAACCAGCCCCUAGUGGGCUGGGCGCCCCCCCAUGGGCCUCCCCCCAUGCGCCUAGGGUUGGGAACCUUAGGGUGGGGGGCUUUCCCCUUGCCUUGGGGGGCAAGGCAACCCCUCCCCCCCCCUUGGCCGCCGCCCCCCAACCCUAGAUGGGUUUUGGCCGGCCCCCCUCCCAAGGGGGCCUAUAUAAAGGGGGGGGGGGAGGGAGGGCAGCACCCUACAGCCUUGGGCGCCUCCCUCCUCCCCUGCAACACCUCUCUCUCUCUCUCGUAGAAGCUCGGUGAAGCCCUGCCGGAGACCUGCUACAUCCACCACCACGCCGUCGUGCUGCUGGAUCUCCAUCAACCUCUCCUUCCCCCUUGCUGGAUCAAGAAGGAGGAGACGUCGCUGCACCGUACGUGUGUUGAACGCGGAGGUGCCGUCCGUUCGGCACUCGGUCAUCGGUGAUUUGGAUCACGGCGAGUACGACUCCGUCAUCCACGUUCAUUGGAACGCUUCCGCUCGCGAUCUACAAGGGUAUGUAGAUCCACUCCUUUCCCCUCGUUGCUAGUAGACUCCAUAGAUGUAUCUUGGUGAGCGUAGGAAAAUUUUAAAAUUAUGCUACGAUUCCCAACACCCAGUCCCGAAAUGCAAAAAUGAAUUUACUUUAUGUUGUCAAAUAAUAAAUUCCUUGGAAAGUGUUGGUAUGGAGGGCAACCGUGGAUACGGCUAGCCAUGGAAAGUGAAAGUAUGGUUGAAAGAGGAAUAAACUUUACUUUAUGUUUGGGAACCGCCUAUGAUAUAUCUAGCAUGGAAAGUGUUGGGAACUCUAAGUCGUUUUCGUUGGUGGGAUGGAUACACCUCCCAAAAUGUUUUUAUCUCUAAUUUUUUGCUUUGAGCUCUGGUACCUCUACAAAUCCCUACUCCCCUCUGCGAAGGGCCUUUCUUUUACUUUAUGCAAUUUUUAUUUUGAGUUUGAUUCUCCAUCCUCUCUUAUAAAAGCACCAACUAGGAGGCAAUAUGAUCGUACUUAAGUAUUGGGUGUAGCUAAUAUUCGAGUGUGUUUCAUGAAUGGAUCAAUGUUUGAGCAUGAUGGGCUAGGGAUAACUUGUUUUAGCGUUGAUAUUUUGAAAGACAUGGUUGCUUGUUGAUAUGCUUGAGUAUCUAAAUUAUUAUGUCAAAACUAUACUAUUGCUUUGAAUCACAUAAAAGUCCAAAUGUCCAUGCUAUAAAGAAAAGAAAUAUGAUAUGAUAUGACAUGACAGACAACACUCCACAUCAAAAAUUCUGGUUCUAUCACUUACCUACUCGAGGACGAGCAGGAGGCCCAGGCGCGCCCUAGUGGGUUGUGCCCACCUCGGGUGCCCCUGGACUGCCUCUUUGCUCUAUAAAUACCCCAAUAUUCCAGAAACCCUAGGGGAGUCGAUGAAAUAUUCAUCCAGCCGCCGCAGGGUCCAGAACCACCAGAUCCAAUCUAGACACCAUCACGGAGGGGUUCACCACCUCCAUUGGUGCCUCUCUGAUGAUGCGUGAGUAGUUCUUUGUAGACCUUCGGGUCCGUAGUUAGUAGCUAGAUGGCUUUCUCUCUCUCUCGCUGAAUUCUCAAUACAAUGGUCUCUUGAAGAUCCAUAUGAUGUAACUCUUUUGCGGUGUGUUUGUUGGGAUCUGAUGAACUUCGAGUUUAUGAUGAGUUAUAUCUUUUUAUAUCCAUGAAAGUUAUUUGAGUUUCUUUGAUCUCUUAUAUGCAUGAUCUCUUAUAGCCUCGUAUUUCUUCUCUGAUAUUUGGAUUUGUUUGUCCAACUUGAUCUAUUUAUCUUGCAAUGGGAAGAGGUGCCCGGUAGUGGGUUCAAUCUUACGGUGCUUGAUCCCAGUGACAGAAAGGGAACCGACACGUAUGUAUCGUUGCUACUAAGGAUAAAAAGAUGGGAUCUAUAUCUACGCAAUAGAUAAAUGGAUCUUGUCUACAUCAUGUCAUCGUUCUUAUUGGAUUACUCCGUUUUUCCAUGAACUUAGUACACUAGAUGCAUGCUGGAUAGCGGUCGAUGUGUGAAGUAAUAGUAGUAGAUGCAGACAGGAGUCGGUCUACUAAUCUUGGACGUGAUGCCUAUGUAAUGAUCAUUGCCUGGAUAUCAUCAUAAUUAUUUGAAGUUCUAUCAAUUGCCCAACAGUAAUUUGUUUACCCACCGUUUGCUAUCUUUCUCGAGAGAAGGCACUAGUGAAACCUACGGCCCCCGGAUCUUCUUUCUCAUAUAUUUUCUUUGCGAUCUACUUUUUCCUUGCGUUUAUUUUAUGAUCUACUAAACCAAAAAUACAAAAAUACCUUGCUGAAAUUUAUUCUUAUUAUUUUAUUUGGCGUUCGAUCUAUCAAUCUACUACAAAUUUACCUCAUGUCCUUUGCCUAUCUUGAGGCGCCGUACCCCGAAAGGGAUUGACAACCCCUUUAACACGUCGGGUUGCAAGGUGUUGUUAUUUGUGUGCAGGGGCUGUUUACGUUGUGUUGCUUGGUUCUCCUACUGGUUCGAUAACCUUGGUUUCAUAUCUGAGGGAAAUACCUAUCGCCGCUGUGCUGCAUCAUCCCUUCCUCUUUGAAGAAAUACUGACGUAGCUUCAAGCGACAUCAGCUGCCCUUUUUUUUAGAAAAAAAUUUAGUAGCAGUAAGUACAUCUUGAUCACUGCUGACAAUGAAUAUGUAUGACCAUGGUUUAAAGAAGUUCUACUGUUUUCAAAUAUACCGAGUCAUUUCUAGGUUAUACCGAAGCUUACCUAUUCUCCAAUUGAUAUAGACAUCAAAUAUUCUAAGCUUCCCUGUUGUUAGCAAACAACUUCUCAAACAAGUCAUCAUUAUCAUUCACUCAUUAGGUUAUGGCAAAUGGAGCUGGGAGGAACCGCCUCCUGCCGCUCAGAAAAACUGACCGCUCUACGACCCAAAUUGGUGACAGAUUCUCUAUACUAAAUUAUUUCUUGAGAAGAACAAGUGAAUACAAAGGUCAAAUUAGGAGCUGGGAGGAACCGCCUCCUGCCUUUCUAGGUUGUUAACGAUUUUCUUCAUAGUUUUUUUACAAUUGGUCAAAUUAGGGGUUGUUUUCUUUCUUUGUUACCACAAAAAAAUGUCAUAUGUAGCUUCAAUGUAAAUUAUAACAAGAUGUACGUUGGCAUUAGCUUUCAUUAUUGAGAACUAUGUAUAUUUCAUAUCCAUCCUAAUAUACUUCUCUGAAGCUACAAAAAUAUCAUGUAUAUUGAAAUUUAAUUGUUACCUGGAUGUGCCAUUGAGUGGUUACAAGAUUGUAUUAGAUGGGUGUAGAUGGUGGGCAUAGGAAGAAGAAAAAAAGUGAUAUAGUGGUAAAGAAAUAAGUUGACAAUCCUAAAAUACAUGGUUGACACAAUUGUUUAUGCCCCGGUUGCAACACUCGGGCAAUUACCUAUUUUAUUAGAAUUCCUCUAUAGCUCAUGUUGCAUCUUGUAAAGUCUUUCUUCCUAUUUCUUUGUUCCAUGUUGUGAUUAUGGCCUAUUGGCUCUCCGUUCUUUUCCUAUGGGGAAAAGUUGACACUUUAAUCCCAUGCUCGAACAAUUUACAUACUAUGAUGAUUUGAGAUGAACAAUAACUGUACUAUACUGGGCAAUUUUUUGCCGUUUACUGUAAGUUAGUUCAGUCCAUUUAUGCUUGUUAUUAUAGAGAAUUGUACUUGCUGAUGAAUAGAAAAUGCACAUUUUAUUCUGGUUUGUCUUUAGAAUAAAAACCUGCCUUCAAUCUACAAGAUUUUAUUCUUACACAUACUCUAGGAAAAAAACUAGAAUGAAAAUGUCUGGGUAAAUGUCAGCGCAUUAUGAAGGUUAAACUAUUUAGAGCAAGUACAAUAGGGUGACAUAAGCAGGCUAUAAGGAUUAAAAUAUUACUUCCUCCGUUCCUAAAUAUAAGUCUUUCUUGAGAUUCCAACAAGUGAAUACAUACGGAGCAAAAUGAGUGAAUCUACACUCUAAAAUAUGUCAACAUACAUCCGUAUGUUGUAGCCAUUUGAAACGUCUAAAAAGACUCAUAUUUAGGAACGGAGGGAGUAUAUCUAUGCUUAGUUGAAGGAGAGAGAAGAGUAGAGAGAAUGUAAGCGGGUUGUAGAAUAAGAGCUGGCUAUAGCACGAGACCCAAGUCACUUUGUGAGAAUGUAUGGUGGGCCAGUUAUUAAUAAAGUACUACAUAUUUAAAUCUUACUAUUAUACAAGCCGGCUAUUAGGUUGACUCUAGAUGACAUGACAAUCUCUUAUAGCCAACUAUUGGCUAUAUUAUUAACCAUGCUCUUACUCACUCCCUUGGAGGUUAUAUUCCAUGUAGUUUACACAGCCGGUCCCUUUCAUUAAGUUGUUGGUAUCCUUAUCACCGUGUCUCGCUCCACUUGAAAAGCUCACACGUCCAUACUCGAAGAAUAGACAUGGUGAUACAUUGUUUGAAAAUAUUUUGUUUCUGCUAUUGUGGCAGAGCCCGGGAUGAAUGGUGGGUCCAGUUUAGAACUUGGAGGUACUAGCACUAAGAUAGGAUGGUGGUUGCUACCCUUGUCCCUUGUUGUUGUCCUGUUGUGGUGACAUCGAUCACUGGUUCACUUAGACAUGAGUUAGUGGAUUUUGUGAUAAGAGUGAGGGUUGAGAGUGAGCGGGAUGGGGGUUGGGAUCGGUCUGUUCAGUUAUGGCUGUAUGAGCAGAAUAAUUUCCCUACUUCAGAAAAUAUGGCAAAUUGCAUUUCAUUAGAGAUGGCUCUGGAGCAAAUUGCAUGAGCAGGCGGUUCAUAUAUUGUUUUUGAACAAGUCAAACAAUUUUCUGGUUAGGAUAGAAGGGUAAAUGCAGUGGUUGAUUGCUUCAAGAGUUAAUAAUGGACAUGGUAGCAUAUCAGUUGCAUGCCCAAUAAUGAGCAUCAUAUUUUGUUUCGUGAUAAUGCACGACAUUCAACUGUAUGUUACAAUGUGUCAAAGGCUCGGGAGACAUCGAAACUGCCUUCUUGGCAUGGGGAAGGGGGCAGGGCAUCACGGGUGCCACACACCUCGUCCCCCUUGAUGACGGUGGCNNNNNNNNNNNNNNNNNNNNNNNNNNNNNNNNNNNNNNNNNNNNNNNNNNNNNNNNNNNNNNNNNNNNNNNNNNNNNNNNNNNNNNNNNNNNNNNNNNNNNNNNNNNNNNNNNNNNNNNNNNNNNNNNNNNNNNNNNNNNNNNNNNNNNNNNNNNNNNNNNNNNNNNNNNNNNNNNNNNNNNNNNNNNNNNNNNNNNNNNNNNNNNNNNNNNNNNNNNNNNNNNNNNNNNNNNNNNNNNNNNNNNNNNNNNNNNNNNNNNNNNNNNNNNNNNNNNNNNNNNNNNNNNNNNNNNNNNNNNNNNNNNNNNNNNNNNNNNNNNNNNNNNNNNNNNNNNNNNNNNNNNNNNNNNNNNNNNNNNNNNNNNNNNNNAGAGUGGGGUGGUUGGUGGGGACUCCUCCUUGGCGAUCUGCAGGAAAGUACGGUGUGAAGGUAAGAUGUGCCAUGACGAAGGUGAUGUGGGCAUCAUACGGUUUUAAAGGAGAAGGCUCCAUCGAGAAUGUCCCGCUACGGCGGAAAAUCGAGCCGGAUGGUGAGGGUUCGACAGUAAAAGGAAGGGUGUGUCGUGGGGCUGUGUUGUCUGGGGACCAUGUGUCUGAGAUAACAUGACGAAUAGUCCAGACAACGACACCCCCUCUAUGGGCUUGAAUUGUGGUCCUAGGCGCUUGUUUGAUGUUCGAACACGCCCGGACGUAUGAGGGUGAAAUGAGUUUCGACCUUGAAGACGACCUUAAUCAUUUGUUUAUUUUAUUUAUAUGCAUGGUAGCCCGUAGCAACGCACGGGCGUUCUACUAGUUUUCACUAUGGUUUGACAUACUGGAAAUGACCUUAUUACCCUUGCCCCAAAUCAGCCCCUCCGAGGGAGAACCUUUUUCUGGCGAUUCCUUCCGUGAUCUUUCUGCGCUUCUCCCCGAUGGUUUCUUCAUCCCCAGGCAAGCCAAAACACCCACUUGCAUGAUGGCCAUGCAGUAGCCAUGGUUUUCAACUUGACUAUUUAAUAAAUCUCUACUUGUUUGUCUGCAAUUGUUGUCAUUGAAAAUUAAUAAUUUCUAUACUACAAUGGAUUGGAACAAAAUGAAACAAGAAGGUUUUCUAGCAAUUACGGCAACCACUAUGUACUAAAAACAAGAUAGGACGGUAGAUAGAAAAGGAAAUAGAAAUCCUAACAAACAUGCAAAAAAACACAAGAUCUACUUUAGAAUGAUAAAACUUCAACUUUAUGUUGCGUUCCGACAGUCAUCGGGGGAUGGUGUCUAGUGCGGCACUAAGGAGUACGCGAUUCACGCAUGUCAGGAACCGUGGUUGGGAUGUUGUCCAGUGCGGCCCUCCAGCGGUAAAAAUCUUGGGCCAUCACCUAUGAUUCCAGCGCCCCACCGAGGGCAUUACUAGAAAUUCGCAUACCCUAUGCCACAUGGCUUCCCCGGAUUCCUGGCCUCAUCCCCAAUCGGGGGACAAGCAAGGGUUGCAUCUUGCGCUUACUACUCUUUCUCCCUCGCAUCUCUCGCGCAUCCCUCGCACGGUCGUAGCUCCUCUGCCUUCCUUCUCUAUGGCCCGAGACGCCGCCGCUCCUCCGUGCCUCACUCCUCCUCUUGGCAUUAAGUGGAGAUAGUAGGAGGAUAGAGUCCUUUUUUUCAAGAGAUGUGCUCCGGCCUGGGCUCCCCGGACCCGACGUGCCUGACCCUCUGUGCUGCCGCAAGCGAGGAGCUUCUGUCACGGCCUCCGUGUUGCCCCUCGCCACAUUCCCACUGCUUGUCGAAGGCGCCCCCCUCGGUCGGCUGUUCCCCAUUCCAUCUUUCAGGAACCUAGCAUCGGUCAGUCACAGAACAAAAAUUCACACAGACACACGGAGGAAAAUCCAUCAGCCGAAAUCCAUAAAAUAGGAACCAAAAUCCCAAACUGGAAAGGCCACACCAACUGCGCGACGCCGAAGGAAGAAAAUCAAAAUCGCAAACGAGCGUCGUGCAAGCACGCACUGGUCCGGAGGCGAAAAACCCCCAAAACCAGAGGCCGAGGACCGAUGCCCAGGUGCAGAAUCCCAAGCCCCCGGCCAUUCCACUCCCCGCAAUGCGCGGAAGGAGCGCCAGCGGCCAGGCCGUGGAGGGGAGGGACGCCCCGAGCAACGACGCUUGAAACAGAGGAGGAGGCGGGCGGGUAGGCGAAGCGGUAUCUCUUCGGGUGGGUGCAUGACAGGUGGGGAAUGCGGGUCGGUCGCGGCGGUGGUGACGGCGGCAGAGGCCUAGGGUUUAGCGCGAUCACGGGUGGCGGGCAGUGGCUGCGAUGGGGUUUUGAGAAGCUCUAUGGGAGAAAGAGUGGGGGAAACGCCGUUAUUACCGCAUCCCUCCCUGGUUCUUCCCUCCUUCUGCCGCGCGGCGGUUUUCUUGUCACGGGCCACUUUAGUAGUGGCAGUGGCUUCUGAGCUGUAAAUGUCAGGUCUUUUCGCCACACCAACCCACCCCCACCAUGGGACCAAAAGGAGUUGAAUGUAAUAAUUUCAUUAUUGAUCAAUAAUUGUGGCACAUUUAUUAUGGGGGCGGAAAACAUGAAGAACAUUAAUUCUACUAGAUCGGAGUUGGUGGGACAUACGACUCAGACUAUUUUUAACAUCACGGUAAGCAUGUGCCUAAAUAUUAAUAUUGGAAAAUAAUUACGGUCAAACUGCUGGUGAUAGAUUAGACCAGAUUGCUAGGGUCGGGCCGAGUUGGGCUUGGCCUUUUGGUAUAUUUCCUUUUUUAUGUAGGUAUAUUGGCUGGCCCUAGAUCUUAGGGUGGGGCAUGUCCUACCCUACACCCUGUUGGAUCUACCCUGAAAUGAGCGGCGAGAUCAUAUUUUUGAUGUUGNNNNNNNNNNNNNNNNNNNNNNNNNNNNNNNNNNNNNNNNNNNNNNNNNNNNNNNNNNNNNNNNNNNNNNNNNNNNNNNNNNNNNNNNNNNNNNNNNNNNNNNNNNNNNNNNNNNNNNNNNNNNNNNNNNNNNNNNNNNNNNNNNNNNNNNNNNNNNNNNNNNNNNNNNNNNNNNNNNNNNNNNNNNNNNNNNNNNNNNNNAGCUUAUUCUCAAAGAAUGGACAUGGAAUCCGGUGGUUCCUGAAGGAAAUAUGCCCUAGAGGCAAUAAUAAAGUUGUUAUUUAUAUUUCCUUAUAUCAUGAUAAAUGUUUAUUAUUCAUGCUAGAAUUGUAUUAACCGGAAACUUAGUACAUGUGUGGAUACAUAGACAAACAUAGUGUCACUAGUAUACCUCUACUUGACUAGCUCGUUGAAUCAAAGAUGGUUAAGUAUCCUAGCCAUAGACAUGAGUUGUCAUUUGAUUAACGGGAUCACAUCAUUAGAGAAUGAUGUGAUUGACAUGACCCAUUCCGUUGGCUUAGCACUUGAUCGUUUAGUAUGUUGCUAUUGCUUUCUUCAUGACUUAUACAUGUUCCUAUGACUAUGAGAUUAUGCAACUCCCGAAUACCGGAGGAACACUUUGUGUGCUACCAAACGUCACAACGUAACUGGGUGAUUAUAAAGGUGCUCUACAGGUGUCUCUGAUGGUACUUGUUGAGUUGGCAUAGAUCGACAUUAGGAUUUGUCACUCCGAUUGUCGGAGAGGUAUCUCCGGGCCCUCUCGGUAAUGCACAUCACUAUAAGCCUUGCAAGCAAUGCAACUAAUGAGUUAGUAGCGGGAUGAUUGUUGGAAAUAUGCCCUAGAGGCAAUAAUAAAUAGGUUAUUAUUAUAUUUCCUUGUUCAUGAUAAUCGUUUAUUAUCCAUGCUAGAAUUGUAUUGAUAGGAAACUCAGAUACAUGUGUGGAUACAUAGACAACACCAUGUCCCUAGUAAGCCUCUAGUUGACUAGCUCGUUGAUCAAUAGAUGGUUACGGUUUCCUGACCAUGGACAUUGGAUGUCGUUGAUAACGGGAUCACAUCAUUAGGAGAAUGAUGUGAUGGACAAGACCCAAUCCUAAGCCUAGCACAAGAUCGUCUAGUUCGUUUGCUCAGAGCUUUUCUAAUGUCAAGUAUCAUUUCCUUGGACCAUGAGAUUGUGCAACUCCCGGAUACCAUAGGAAUGCUUUGGGUGUACCAAACGUCACAACGUAACUGGGUGGCUAUAAAGGUGCACUACAGGUAUCUCCGAAAGUGUCUGUUGGGUUGGCACGAAUCGAGACUGGGAUUUGUCACUCCGCGUAAACGGAGAGGUAUCUCUGGGCCCACUCGGUAGGACAUCAUCAUAAUGUGCACAAUGUGACCAAGGAGUUGAUCACGGGAUGAUGUGAGUUACGGAACGAGUAAAGAGACUUGCCGGUAACGAGAUUGAACAAGGUAUCGGGAUACCGACGAUCGAAUCUCGGGCAAGUACCAUACCGAUAGACAAAGGGAAUUGUAUACGGGAUUGAUUGAAUCCUCGACAUCGUGGUUCAUCCGAUGAGAUCAUCGUGGAGCAUGUGGGAGCCAACAUGGGUAUCCAGAUCCCGCUGUUGGUUAUUGACCGGAGAGUCGUCUCGGUCAUGUCUGCAUGUCUCCCGAACCCGUAGGGUCUACACACUUAAGGUUCGGUGACGCUAGGGUUAUAGAGAUAUUAGUAUGCGGUAACCCGAAAGUUGUUCGGAGUCCCGGAUGAGAUCCCGGACGUCACGAGGAGUUCCGGAAUGGUCCGGAGGUAAAGAUUUAUAUAUGGGAAGUCUUAUUUUGGUCGCCGGAAAAGUUUCGCACUUUAUCGGUAUUGUACCGGGAGUGCCGAAAGGGGUCCGGGGGUCCACCAAGGGGGUCCACCAGCCCCGGGGGGCCACAUGGGCUGUAGGGGGUGCGCCUUGGCCUAUAUGGGCCAAGGGCACCAGCCCCAAGAGGCCCAUGCGCCAAGAGAUAAGGAAAAGGGAGAGUCCUAAAGGGGGAAGGCACCUCCGAGGUGCCUUGGGGGGGAAGGACUCCUCCCUGGCCGCACCCUUCCUUGGAGGAAGGGCCAAGGCUGCGCCCCCCUCUCCCUUGGCCCUAUAUAUAGUGGGGGGAAGGGAGGGCAGCAAUACCUAAGCCCUGGCGCCUCCCUCUCCCUCCCGUGACACAUCUCCCUCCUCCCGCAGCGCUUGGCGAAGCCCUGUUGGAAUCCCGCUACUUCCACCACCACGCCGUCGUGCUGCUGGAUCUCCAUCAACCUCUCCUCCCCCCUUGCUGGAUCAAGAAGGAGGAGACGUCGCUGCUCCAUACGUGUGUUGAACGCGGAGGUGCCGUCCGUUCGGCGCUAGGAUCAUCGGUGAUUUGGAUCACGACGAGUACGACUCCAUCAACCCCGUUCUCUUGAACGCUUCCGCUCGCGAUCUACAAGGGUAUGUAGAUGCACUCCUUCCCUCUCGUUGCUAGUAAACUCCAUAGAUUGAUCUUGGUGAUGCGUAGAAAAUUUUGAAUUUCUGCUACGUUACCCAACAGUGGCAUCAUGAGCUAGGUCUAUGCGUAGUUUCUAUGCACGAGUAGAACACAAAGCAGUUGUGGGCGUAGAUGUUGCCAAUUCUUCUUGCCGCUACUAGUCUUAUCUUGUUUCGGCGGCAUUGUGGGAUGAAGCGGCCCGGACCGACCUUACACGUACGCUUACGUGAGACAGGUUCCACCGACUGACAUGCACUAGUUGCAUAAGGUGGCUAGCGGGUGUCUGUCUCUCCCACUUUAGUCGGAACGGAUUCGAUGAAAAGGGUCCUUAUGAAGGGUAAAUAGAAAUUGGCAUAUCACGUUGUGGUUUUUGCGUAGGUAAGAAACGUUCUUGCUAGAAACCCAUAGCAGCCACGUAAAACAUGCAACAACAAUUAGAGGAUGUCUAACUUGUUUUUGCUGGGUAUGCUAUGUGAUGUGAUAUGGCCAAAAGGAUGUGAUGAAUGAUAUAUGUGAUGUAUGAGAUUGAUCAUGUUCUUGUAAUAGGAAUCACGACUUGCAUGUCGAUGAGUAUGACAACCGGCAGGAGCCAUAGGAGUUGUCCUUAUUUUUUUGUAUGACCUGCGUGUCAUUGAAUAACGCCAUGUAAAUUACUUUACUUUAUUGCUAAGCGCGUUAGACAUAGAAGUAGAAGUAAUCGUUGGCGUGACAACUUCAUGAAGACACAAUGAUGGAGAUCAUGAUGAUGGAGAUCAUGGUGUCAUGCCGGUGACAAAGAUGAUCAUGGUGCCCCGAAGAUGGAGAUCAAAGGAGCAAAAAUGAUACUGGCCAUAUCAUGUCACUAUUUGAUUGCAUGUGAUGUUUAUCAUGUUAUGCAUCUUAUUUGCUUAGAACGACGGUAGCAUAAAUAAGAUGAUCCCUCACUAAAAUUUCAAGAGACGUGUUCCCCCUAACUGUGCACCGUUGCGAAGGUUCGUUGUUUCGAAGCACCACGUGAUGAUCGGGUGUGAUAGAUUCUAACGUUCGAAUACAACGGGUGUUGACGAGCCUAGCAUGUACAGACAUGGCCUCGGAACACAUGCGAAACACUUAGGUUGACUUGACGAGCCUAGCAUGUACAGACAUGGCCUCGGAACACAAGAGACCGAAAGGUUGAGCAUGAGUCGUAUAGAAGAUACGAUCAACAUGGAGAUGUUCACCGAUGAUGACUAGUCCGUCUCACGUGAUGAUCGGACACGGCCUAGUUUGACUCGGAUCAUGUAUCACUUAGAUGACUAGAGGGAUGUCUAUCUGAGUGGGAGUUCAUUAAUCAGACGAACUUCAUUAUCAUGAACAUAGUCAAAAGGUCUUUGCGAAUUAUGUCUUGCUCUUAAGUUCUACUGGUUGAGAUAUGUUCCUAGAGAAAAUUUAGUUGAAAGCUGGUAGUAGCAAUUAUGCGGACUGGGUCCGUAAACUGAGGAUUGUCCUCAUUGCUGCACAGAAGGCUUAUGUCCUUAAUGCACCGCUCGGUGUGCUGAACCUCAGCAUCGUCUGUAGAUGUUGCGAAACAUCUGACAUACACGUUUUGAUGACUACGUGAUAGUUCAGUGAGUAAUGCUAAUGGUUUAGAAUUGUGGCACCAAAGACGGGUUUUUGAAACGUCGUAGAACAUAUGAGAUGUUCCGAAGACUGAAAUUGGGAUUUCGGACUAGUGCGCACAUCAAGAGGUAUGAGACCUCUGACAAGUUUCUUAAGCCUGCAAACUAAGGGAGAAAAGCUCAAUCGUUGAGCAUGUGCUCAGAUUGUCUGAGUACUACAAUCGCUUGAAUCGAGUGGGAGUUAAUCUUCCAGAUGAGAUAGUGAUGGUUCUCCAUAAUCACUGCCACCAAGCUAUUAGAGCUUCGUGAUGAACUAUAAAUAUCAAGGAUAGAUGAUGAUCCUUGAGCAACUCGCGAUGUUUGACACCGCGAAAGUAGAAAUCAAGAAGGAGCAUCAAUUGUUGAUGGUUAGUAAAACCACUAGUUUCUAGAAGGGCAAGGGCAAAAGGGAUACUUCAUGAAACAACAAAUCGUUUGCUGCUCUAGUGAAGAAUCCCAAGGUUGAACCCAAACCCGAGACUAAGUGCUUCUGUAAUGAGGGGAACGGUCACUGAAGCAGUACUACCCUAGAUACUUGGUAGAUGAGAAGGCAGGCAAGGUCGACAGAAGUAUAUUGGAUAUACAUUAUAUGAAUGUGUACUUUACUAGUACUCCUAGCGGCACCAGGGUAUUAGAUACCGGUUCGGUUGCUAAGUGUUAGUAACUCGAAAUAAAAGCUGCGGAAUAAACGGAGACUAGCUAAAGGUGAGAUGACGAUAUGUGUUGGAAGUGUUUCCAAGGUUGAUGUGAUCAAGCAUCGCAUGCUCCCUCUACCAUCGAGAUUUGGUGUUUGCGUUGAGCAUGAUUGGAUUAUGUUUAUCGCAAUACGAUUAUUCAUUUAAGGAGAAUAAUGGUUACUCUGUUUAUUUGAAUAAUACCUUCAAUGGUUUUGCACCUAAAAUGAAUCUCGAUCGUAGUGAUACACAUGUUCGUGCCAAAAGAUAUAAAAUAGUAAUGAUAGUUCCACAUACUUGUGGCACUGCCAUUUGAGUCAUAUUGGUAUAGAACGCAUGAAGAAGCUCUAUGUAGAUGGAUCUUUGGACUCACUCGUUUUUUGAAAAGAUUGAGACAUGCGAACCAUGUCUAUUGGUAUAUAUGCAUGUAGAAACUCCAUGCAGAUGGAUCGUUUGGACUCACUUGAUUUUGAAUCACUUGAGACAUGCAAAUCAUACCACAUGAGCAAGAUGACUGAAAGUCCUCGUUUUCAGUAAGAUGGAAUAAGAGAGCAACUUAUUGGAAGUAAUACAUUUUGAUGUAUGCAGUCCAAUGAGUGCUGAGGCAUGCAGUGGAUAUCGUUAUGUUCUUACUUCAUAGAUGAUUUGAGUAGAUGCUGAGUGUAUUUACUUGAUAAAACACAAGUCUGAAUUAUUGAAAGGUUCAAGUAAUUUCAGAGUGAAGUUGAAGAUCGUCGUGACAAGAGGAUAAAAUGUCUGUGAUAUGAUCAUAGAGAUGAGUAUCUGAGUUACGAGUUUGGCACACAAUUAAGACAUUGUGGAAAGUGUUUCGCAAUUAAGACCGCCUGGAACACCAUAGUGUGAUGGUGUGUCCGAACAUCAUUGGAUAUGGUGCAUACCAUGAUGUCUCUUAUCGAAUUACCACUAUCGUUUAUGGGUUAGGCAUUAGAGAUAACCGCAUUCACUUUAAAAGGGGCACCACGCAAUUCCGUUGAGACGACACCGUUUAGAGAAACCUAAGUUGUCGUUUCUUAAAAGUUUGGGGCUGCGAAGCUUAUGUGAAAAAGUUUCAGGCUGAUAAGCUCGAACCCAAAGCGGAUAAAUACAUCUUCAUAAGAAUACCCAAAACAGUUGGGUAUACCUCCUAUUUCAGAUCUGGAAGCAAAAGUAAUUGCUUCUAGAAACGAGUCCUUUCUCGAGGAAAAGUUUCUCUCGAAAGAAUUGAGUGGGAGGAUGGUGGAGACUUGAUGAGGUUAUUGAACCAUAACUUCAACUAGUGUGUAGCAGGGCACAUGAAGUUGUUCCUGUGGCACCUAUACCAAUUGAAGUGGAAGCUUAUGAUAGUGAUCAUGAAACUUCGGAUCAAGUCACCACCAAACCUCGUAGGACGACGAGGAUGCGUAAUACUUCAGAGUAGUACGUGAUCCUGUCUUGGAAGUCAUGUUGUUGGACAACGAUGAACCUAUGAGCUAUGGAGAAGCGAUGGUGGGCCCAUAUUCCGACAAAUGGUUAGAAGCCAUGGAAUCCGAGAUAAAUGGAUCUUUAAGAAGAAGACGAACGUGGACGGUAAGGUUACCGUCUAUGAAGCUCGACUUGUGGCAAAGAGUAUUUUCACAAGUUCAAGGAGUUGACUACGAUGAGAUUUUCUCAUCCGUAGCGAUGCUUAAGUCCGUCGGAAUCAUGUUAGCAUUAGAUGCAUUUAUGAAAUCUGGCAGAUGGAUGUCAAAACAAGUUUCCUUACCAGUUUUCGUAAGGAAAGAUUGUAUGUGAUACAAUCAGAAAGGUUUUGUCAAUCCUAAGGAUGCUAAAAGGUAUGCUAGCUCCAGCGAUCCUUCCAUGGACUAGAGCAAGCAUCUCGGAGUCAGAAUAUACGCUUUGAUGGAGUGAUCAAAGUUUUCGGGUUUAUACAAAGUUUGUUAGAAACUUGUAUUUACAAUAAAGUGAGUGGGAGCGCUACAACAUUUCUGAUAAGUAUAUGUGAAUGACAUAUUGUUGAUCCGAAAUGAUGUAAAAUUUCUGGAAAGCAUAAAGGGUUGUUUGAAAGGAGUUUUUCAAAGGAAGACCUGGAUAAAAGCUGCUUACAUAUUGGGCAUCAAGAUCUAUAGAGAUAGAUCAAGACGCCUGAUGAUACUUUCAAAGAACGCACACCUUGACAUGAUUUUGAAAGAGUUCAAAAUAGAUCAGCAAAGAAGGAGUUCUUGGGUGUGUUACAAGGUGUGAGUAUUGAGUAAGACUCAAGACCUGACCACAGCAGAAGAUAGAGAAAGGACGAAGGUCGUCCCCUAUGCUUCAGACGUAGGCUCUACAGUAUGCUAUGCUGUGUACCGCACAUGAAGUGUGCCUUGCCAUGAGUUGGUCAAGAGGGUACAAUAGUGAUCCGGGAAAGGAUCACAUGACAGCGGUCGAACUUAUCCUUAGUACCUAGUGGACUAAGGAAUUUUCUCGAUUAUGGAGGUGAAAAGGAGUUCGUCGUAAAGGGUUACGUCGAUGCGAACUUUGACACUAAUCCGGAUGACUCUGAGUAGUAAACCGGAUUCGUAUAGUAGAGCAAUUAUUUGAAAUGGCUCCAAGUAGCGCGUGGUAGCAUCCACAAGAUGACAUAAAUAUUCGUAAAGCACGCACGGAUCUGAAAGGUUCAGACCCGUUGACUAAUAACCUCUCUCACAAGCAUAACAUGAUCAAACCAGAACUCAUUGAGUGUUAAUCACAUAGUGAUGUGAACUAGAUUGUUGACUCUAGUAAACUCUUUGGAUGUUGGUCACAUGGUGAUGUGACCUAUGAGUGUUAAUCACAUGGUGAUGUGGACUAGAUUAUUGACUCUAGUGCAAGUGGGAGACUGUUGGAAAUAUGCCCUAGAGGCAAUAAUAAAUAGGUUAUUAUUAUAUUUCCUUGUUCAUGAUAAUCGUUUAUUAUCCAUGCUAGAAUUGUAUUGAUAGGAAACUCAGAUACAUGUGUGGAUACAUAGACAACACCAUGUCCCUAGUAAGCCUCUAGUUGACUAGCUCGUUGAUCAAUAGAUGGUUACGGUUUCCUGACCAUGGACAUUGGAUGUCGUUGAUAACGGGAUCACAUAAUUAGGAGAAUGAUGUGAUGGACAAGACCCAAUCCUAAGCCUAGCACAAGAUCGUCUAGUUCGUUUGCUCAGAGCUUUUCUAAUGUCAAGUAUCAUUUCCUUAGACCAUGAGAUUGCGCAACUCCCGGAUACCGUAGGAAUGCUUUGGGUGUACCAAACGUCACACGUAACUGGGUGGCUAUAAAGGUGCACUACAGGUAUCUCCGAAAGUGUCUGUUGGGUUGGCACGAAUCGAGACUGGGAUUUGUCACUCCGCGUAAACGGAGAGGUAUCUCUGGGCCCACUCGGUAGGACAUCAUCAUAAUGUGCACAAUGUGACCAAGGAGUUGAUCACGGGAUGAUGUGAGUUACGGAACGAGUAAAGAGACUUGCCGGUAACGAGAUUGAACAAGGUAUCGGGAUACCGACGAUCGAAUCUCGGGCAAGUACCAUACCGAUAGACAAAGGGAAUUGUGUACGGGAUUGAUUGAAUCCUCGACAUCGUGGUUCAUCCGAUGAGAUCAUCGUGGAGCAUGUGGGAGCCAACAUGGGUAUCCAGAUCCCGCUGUUGGUUAUUGACCGGAGAGUCGUCUCGGUCAUGUCUGCAUGUCUCCCGAACCCGUAGGGUCUACACACUUAAGGUUCGGUGAUGCUAGGGUUAUAGAGAUAUUAGUAUGCGGUAACCCGAAAGUUGUUCGGAGUCCCGUAUGAGAUCCCGGACGUCACGAGGAGUUCCGGAAUGGUCCGGAGGUAAAGAUUUAUAUAUGGGAAGUCUUAUUUUGGUCGCCGGAAAAGUUUCGCACUUUAUCGGUAUUGUACCGGGAGUGCCGAAAGGGGUCCGGGGGUCCACCAAGGGGGUCCACCAGCCCCGGGGGGCCACAUGGGCUGUAGGGGGUGCGCCUUGGCCUAUAUGGGCCAAGGGCACCAGCCCCAAGAGGCCCAUGCGCCAAGAGAUAAGGAAAAGGGAGAGUCCUAAAGGGGGAAGGCACCUCCGAGGUGCCUUGGGGGGGAAGGACUCCUCCCUGGCCGCACCCUUCCUUGGAGGAAGGGCCAAGGCUGCGCCCCCCCUCUCCCUUGGCCCUAUAUAUAGUGGGGGGAAGGGAGGGCAGCAAUACCUAAGCCCUGGCGCCUCCCUCUCCCUCCCGUGACACAUCUCCCUCCUCCCGCGACGCUUGGCGAAGCCCUGUUGGAAUCCCGCUACUUCCACCACCACGCCGUCGUGCUGCUGGAUCUCCAUCAACCUCUCCUCCCCCCUUGCUGGAUCAAGAAGGAGGAGACGUCGCUGCUCCGUACGUGUGUUGAACGCGGAGGUGCCGUCCGUUCGGCGCUAGGAUCAUCGGUGAUUUGGAUCACGACGAGUACGACUCCAUCAACCCCGUUCUCUUGAAUGCUUCCGCUCGUGAUCUACAAGGGUAUGUAGAUGCAUUCCUUCCCUCUUGUUGCUAGUAAACUCCAUAGAUUGAUCUUGGUGAUGCGUAGAAAAUUUUGAAUUUCUGCUACGUUACCCAACAAUGAUGUGUUACGGAACGAGUAAAGAGACUUGCCGGUAACGAGAUUGAACUAGGUAUUGGGAUACUGACGGUCGAAUCUCGGGCAAGUAACAUACCGAUGACAGAGGGAACAACGUAUGUUGUUAUGCGGUUUGACCGAUAAAGAUCUUCGUAGAAUAUGUAGGAGCCAAUAUGAGCAUCCAGGUUCCGCUAUUGGUUAUUGACCGGAGAUGUGUCUCGGUCAUGUCUACAUAGCUCUCGAACCCGUAGGGUCCGCACACUUAACAUUCGGUGACAAUACCCUUAUUAUGAGUUUAUGUGAUUUGAUGUACCGAAGGUAGUUCGGAGUCUCGAAUGAGAUCGGGGACAUGACGAGGAGUCUCGAAAUGGUCGAGACGUAAAGAUCGAUAUAUUGGAAGGCUAUAUUCAGACAUCGGAAAGGUUCCGAGUGAUUCAGGUAUUUUUCGGAGUACCGGGGAGUAAUGGGAAUUCCUCCGGGGAGUCAAUGGGCCACUAGUAGAAAAAGGGCCUAUUGUCCCGGUUGGUAAGGGCCUUUUGUCCCGCUUUUUGAACCGGGACUAAAGGGUCGUUACUAAUGCCCUAAGCGUUUAGUCCCGGUUCUUACACGAACCGGGACAGAUGGGCCUCCACGUGGCCGCUGCGGCCAGCCCAGGCCGGGGGGCGUUUGGUCCCGGUUGGUGACACCAACCGGGACCAAUAGGCAUCCAUGCGUCAGCAUCUGGCUGGAGCUAAGGUUUUUGUUUUUUUUGAAAGGGGCUGAUUUAGGGGCUUUGGGGGUUAAUUUAGAUUGUUAUUAGGUAGCUAUUAGAGAGAAGUGUCCUCUCUUAUAUCUCCGUGCAUCAUCAUAUAUAAUAACAAGUCCUACUAAUCAUCAUCAUACAACUUCUACUCUUUAUUAAUAACCAGUCAUACGAUCAUCAUCCUCAUAGUCAUCAAACCAACCCUACUUAAUUGUUCUUAGCACAUGAUCAUCAGUAUUAGGUAGGACCGAAAUACCCUCUUUAAGGUAAAAUAGCAUAAAACAAUAUAGACCUUGACUCUCCAUUAUGGAGAAUGGAGAUCAUCCUGUCUCCAAUUCUUGCGCUUCGCUUCCUUUUGCUUCCAAGAACCUCCUUGCGACUGUCCAUACAUUUUUCCAUUCUUUGAUUUGCAUGUCUCCACUUCUUUUAGAAAUCCGGUAUGGACAGUUGAGAUUCGUAGGAUGACCUGGUUGUAUGUUCAAAACAUCAAGCCUACCAUUCUGAUACAUCAAAUGAGGCACACAAUCCUCUGGGAUUAUCUGUUGAAAAACAUAGUAAUAACUUCAUAGUUAGCAAUGAUGUACUAGUUUUAGAAGUAUGCAAAAGAUGCACGGAUGUCGUAAUAGUAAGAAAUCUUACCAGGGUAUCUCCAUAGUAGUUACGGUAGUUCACACGUGCACUAGUGGCACGUAUUGACCAUAAUGUGGAGGAGUUUUACAAUAGAUAUUGUAAUUCUCAAGAUCGGCACAAAAUCCGACCAGAUGAGUUUUCUCCUUAUAAGUUAACUCAGAGCCAUCGGUGUAGUAGGUUCUGUCUACCAUGUUCCGCACAUUGUUUGAACAAUCAAAAUAAGCUGUCAAUGAAAAUAAGCUGUCAACUAUUUUGAAAUGAACAAUAUAAAUUAGCUAAUAACUAUGUUUGAGAAACUCACAUAGCGGUAGAAUUGGAGGCGUAUCAACAAGGACCCAAAUGUCCAUAUUGUCUUGCUCGAUGUCAGGAUCACCAAGAUCCAUGGUGACAAGCAUACCCUCAUCAAAACCAUACAUCUUGCAAAAUGCUUCCCAAUUUUUGCAACCAAAAUGGGUUACGCUCUCAGAAUUAUACAGAUUUACUUCAAAAUCUAUAUCAUGAUGGGUCCUUAGGUGAAUUUUCUUUGUUUCCAUACUUUCAUGGUCUUCAAAACCCAUCCUCUCCAAGACGUAGCGUCUUGCAUGGCAUGGGAUAAGCUAGCCGAAUUGUAAAAGAUGAAAAUUACAGGUUGAAAUAGUUGAAGUCGUGCUUAAUUACGAAAAAAUAACACUUGUCGUCGUUGCGUACCGUUUGAACAUCGAAGGUCUCCUCCAGCUUAAUACUGAAGCGCCGAUCUUCGUCCAGGUGAGGCCUGUCGCACUGACCUCGGUCGUCGUGGCACCAGUCGCACUCCCCCGGGAGACUUUCGUCGUCUGAGUACGCCAUUUCCUAUGUUCAUAAUUCAAAUAUUACGUCUACAAUUAAAUAUAUGUACUAAAAAACCUAAGUUAGAUCAUUAUUAUUCAUCAUGGGUUGACUAUCGGUUUGUCGAGUCUUUUCUUGAAAACUCUCAGCUCACGUGGUGUAUACAUUCGACCGUUGGUGAUGGUCGCUCCUCCAUUUGUCCCCGAGUGCAUUACACCAAAAUGUCUAGCACACGGGAACAAAGGAGAAGCGACCCCCACGACAACAGUUGGGAUUUCUCGUCCUCUCAUAUAUAUAUGGUGGAACUCUCCCUCGCUGAUUCCUCUCUAACAUUUGCGACCGUCGGUGAUGGUAUGGUAGCUCCUCCUUUCGUUCUCAAGUGCAUUACACCAAAUUGUCUAGCACACGGGAACGAAGGAGAAGCUACCCCCGCGACAACAGUCGGGAUUCUUCGUCCUCUCAUAUAUGGUGGAGACUCGACAGACUUACAGUCAACCCGAAAUAUCGUUUAAUUAUCUUUCUAAAAGAGGAUUUGGCUAGUCUCACCUCAAUGUCGGAGGGGGCGGUGACGGGGACGAUGGCGGGGAUGAUGGAGGGGCCAGGGGCUCCUAGAUUUCUGCGAAAACAAAAACCCUAUAAGCUAUCAACUAAUCAUAUGCAUACGCCUUGCAUAGUGCUCUCCAAUUUUAGCAUUCAAAGUAGGAGUAGUUUUCCACUUUGAGCAUUCAAUAAGCAAAAUCAAAUCACAAAAUAAAGUAGUAUUCAAAUUAGGAUGCAUUCAAUUAUAAGCAAAACUACAUCAUCUCCAUGCGUCUGUACAUCGUCGAAU